This 84971-nucleotide long non-coding RNA is filed under the name Daucus carota (carrot). RNAcentral describes it as "long non-coding RNA (DCAR_LNC003010)". The record is from RNAcentral. Lineage: Eukaryota; Viridiplantae; Streptophyta; Magnoliopsida; Apiales; Apiaceae.
UUUUCUUAUCUAAUAAUAUUCUUAACACCCAUAUUUCAUGUGUACAAUUUUAUGAGACUGAGAGAAUAAUAUACUAAUAAUAUUAUAUAAAUAAAAUUUUAAUUUAAAAUACCUUAAUCCACGAGACCGCUAAACAAAAGAGUUGAGAUACAUGUACGUUGAAUUAUUAUCACCAUUAUUGCGUUGUUUUGCCAUAAAUUUGAAUCUUAGGUGAUAUCGAUGUUCUUUUAUGCACGGCUACAAAGAGACAUCAUGAUUAUUCCCACUUUAAUUUCGUUGCCCCAACUGUAUUUUUAUAUAAGGUGUUAUACUAAAGCAGGAAAAGAAAUUAGAAUCACACUCGACUUUACCAUCCCGUUAAAUUAAAAAGUUUUGUAUUUUCUUCUUCAAAAUUACAACUGUAAAUAUGAUAAAGGUGACAUGUAAGCAUUGUCGUAUUUAACCCAUGUGUAUUAAAUGUGAAAAUAAAUACCAAAUAUAUAUGAUAAUAUCUCGAAAACGUAUGAAUAAAUAUUCUUUUAACAGAUUUUUCAUAUAUUUAUAUAUAUAUAUUUUAAUGACAGGUAGAUUAAGUCGACCCAUUUUUUUUUUUUGACAAAAUGCAAAUUCACUCCAUUAAAUUAAAACAAGUCUAGUCGGGACAGAUCCCCAACUGACAAUGCAAUCAGGUUAAUAAACAAUAAAACGAGCUAAACAAAUAGCCGUAUUGUUUCCAGACUGCUUAACACAAUGAAUCCAAUGAUUCUUGAAAUUGAAAACGAAUACAAAGGCUUCUUGAGUAAUCCAGCCUACAUCAAUCCCGAAAAUGGUAGCUUCACAAUCGACCUUCACAAUAGUUCCAUGGCUGUUGCGGUGUUCAGACGACUCCGUUGUAAAAACUAAGCAAUGAGGAACAAGAAUCCUCGAAUAAUGAACAACUAUAAUUUGUGAAAGGUGAGCACAUGCGAUCACCACUGUUCCAAGUAUACCCCAGCUAUCUACAUGCCGGGAGCCAGCUAUAGACAUGCCGAAAGUAUUAAUGAUGCGAUAAACCAGAUCUCCCAAAACUCCAUCCCAAUCAUUCUCAUUGAUAAUACAGGAAGACAUAACAACCACAAAUAUAACACCCAAAAAUUGGGUACUAAAUCAACACACGCCAAAAGGCGAGACGGAAAAACACAAUCGGACCUUUGAUUUCAAAAGAUCUGAUUUAUUCAGAAAACAAUCAAGUUGUGUCCCGAUUUAUAUGUUCUGCGCGGGAUUAUAAUUGGGAGGAAGUAAUUUGGUGAAACUGCGGUCUUGGGCCGUUUAAAUCACACAAAUAACCCUAAAUAAUCUGGACUAGAACAUGAGUGGGCCAAAACCAAAAAAACAAAACCCGGUCUAUUCAGAAAAAGCCCAAAAAACCCUUCCGUAAAUUACGUAAAGGUGAUAGCUUAGCGUAACAGAAAUAGAUGAAAAACGGGCCCACCGAAAUGAAUGGAGGUAGAGAGGCGGUGGGGACGCGCUUAGUUGCCUUUUUCUGCUUUUGCAUGUGACUCCUGCUACUCGGUGCCAGUGCCAUUCCAGCUCACCGACACUAGUCUCUCCAAUCAAUCUAUCUUUCUAUAAAUAAUAUUAUUCAUUUUCACUCUUCUUCUUGAAGCUCAAGAAAAAAUGGCGAGACUCGUGAUAUUGAUGCUGCUCUGUGUCCUCCCAGCCUUGGCCACUGCAAGAUUCUUACAUCAUGCCAAGCCGUUUGUCGUGCAAGGACGUAUCUAUUGUGACACUUGCCGUGCUGGCUUUGAAACCUCGGCAACUACUUACAUCCCUGGUACUACUUAUGUUUAAACACUGUCUGUUUUUGAUUUUUUUCCAAGUGGAUUAGAUUAGUUUGUUGAUCUUGUUUAAAUGGAGUGAUAGUAGCAUUUUAAGGCCAGAUCUAUAAUUUUAAAAUUUUGUGCUGUAGCCUGUAGGAUCUAAAAGAACGAGGACUGAAAUUCAUUAUUAAGGAGAAUGAGAAUGUCAUUUUUUUUUUAAUAUUUUAUAAAUCUAGGGGGUGUGAUUUUAACUCUGAUUUUAAAACUAAAAUCAAAAUCCGAUCGGUCUAAUCCAUAGAUUAAAAACAAUCCAUUAAAAUCUUAAUUGAAUACCAUUUCCUAAUGUCCAUGUUUAGUGAGCGGGUUGAAAUCUCGUGAUCCAAACGGGGGAUAAGGGUAGACAAUGGUUGAUGAGUGGCAUUAAUUAAGUGAGUUUUGUUGAUUGCAGGGGCUAGGGUGAGAAUUGAGUGCAGGGACAGGAAGAGUUUGGCACUCACCUAUAGCAUUGAAGGAGUCACUGAUUCCACCGGAACAUACAAGCUCACCGUGGCUGAUGACCAUCUUGAUGAAGCCUGUGAUGCUAUGCUAGUGAGCAGUCCCGAUCCGUUGUGUUCUGAACCCAAUGCAGGACGUGACAAGUCUCGUGUCAUCCUAACCCGAUCCAAUGGAAUGACCUCUGAUCUUCGCUUUGCCAAUAACAUGGGAUUCCUUAAGAGCGAACCAAUGACUGAGUGCACUCAGGUCCUCCAGAUGUACAAGGAAACGGAGGAUGAAGAUUAGGGCCUCUUGCUCUUGGUACCUUUCUAUGUUAUUAUAUGUGGAUGAUGCUACUAGAGGCUUAAUAACUUCUGCUGUGUAACUUUAAAUUGUUUGUCUUCUAUUUAUUCAUUUUGAUCUGUGACUCCACGUUUAUUUAUGCUCACUUAAUUGUGGCCUAUACUGCCGGACCAAUUUAGUUAUCUAGUUAUCAUAUGAAUGUAUUGGUAUUAUUGUUCUCAUGUGCUUUGUUCAUUCCAUAGAUUCUGGACAUGAUUUCUGUUGAAUAUUGCAUUCCUGUUAUAACUUCUUAAGCGGUGUCAAAUCUGUUAGUAAUAGAGACUGUGGUUCUUGCUGCUAAUUGGGCGUAAUUUGCAAUCAAAUAAGUUAUAUAGAAGCAAAACUUGCUAGGGGGAAGGGGUUUGGUUUCUGGAAGGCAGGUGUUGUGAUUUAUUUGGCUUCUAUGCUGCAUCGUUGAUGCAUGGUUCAGUCGAGAAUGCCCAUUUUUUGUGUCUACUAGGGUCUAUUUUGCGGCCGGUUGGGUUAAUAGUUCCGUGUUAAUGCUCAAGAGCAAGUAUUCCAGGCAGUGUUCUGAAAAGUGUAUUAAGCGGCGGUUCAAACAAAAUCAUCAUCAAAGGCGGUAUAAAAUUAUCAAAUUAUCACUGUCAAAAGCGUUUCAAGUUUAUACCAAUAGUCUGUUUGGUAGUGUUAGUAAUUGUUUAUACCAAUAGUCUGUUUGGUAGUGUUAGUAAUUGUUGUGCUGUUAGAAAAAGUCUUAGUAAAAAAUGUGUUGUUCGGUUAUUUUUUUUUUUUUUGAUAUUUGCAUAUGUUGAGUGAUAAUAUAAUUUUUUUUAAUAAGGUUUGCUAGUUAAAUUUGUGACUGAUUCUAGCAAAAAUUGAAAAACAAUCUUUUUCUAAUAAAAGUAUGGAAGUGUUAUGAUAGGAGUGGAUGACUUUUGGUUUUUCCCAAAACUUUUGGCCUUUUGUUUACCCUCCAUAAUAUGUAUGACUUUUAACUUUUCAUAUGACUUGUAACUUACAUUUGAUGGCCUAUAUAAAGCCAUUUGUAUGAGUUUGUGAAAUACUUAAGAUGAACAAUGUUUGCUCCAUCUUUCUCUCUUGUCUAGCUCUCUCAAUUUCGUUUCUACAUAUAUUAUUAUAUAACACGUUAUCAGCACGAUUUGCUUUCACUUUGUUCUUAUGUUGCACGCCUCAUUUUUUUCUCUUUGUUCGGAUUUUGGUGUAAAUUAUUAUCAAGAGGAUCAUGGUUGUAAAAAAUCUAUAGUUAAUCGACGAGACUCAUAUUGCUACAAAGAUGAAGUCAUUCUUUCAAUGCAAGAGGACUCACUUUUUGAAGUAACGAUUCUUAAACUUAAAAGAAUCGUAAGAUCAUUCAACUGUAAGAUUUUAAGGUACGGCUCCCUUGACCAUUCUUUCUAAUUUAUAGUUUUAUCGAAAUGUAUAUAUUUGAGUUAAGCUAGUUUUGCAUUUCUCCAAAAUUCAUACUGAACUUGUUUUACAAAUGAAUCAAAUUUUCUUAGAAAUUUCAUAAUAGUCUCUUAAUUUUCCACGACCUUUAUUGUCUAGUAUGCUUGUGAAUUCACCCAUAUGCAUAUAUUGAUGAUAUGACUUUAGGAGACAAGUACUCUACACUUAUUUAUGCCUAGUUUGGUUGAUUAUAACAUGAUUGCGUGUCUAUUUAUUGAUUGAUGUGAUAUUAAAAUGUUCUUUUUAUAUAUGAUGAACAUCUCUCAUGUGCAUAUAUUAUAUUCCAAGUGAUCAUAUUUUAUAUGCUUUUAAUUAGUUACGUUGNUUCCUUUAUUUUCCAUCACACAUUUCUGAUAUAUUUAAUUUCUGAAGGAUGAAGGAUGUCAAUAGUAAAAUUUGAUAUAGUUAAACACUUGAUUACAUUCCAGAAGAAUGAUAUAUUCAAAUUAUGAGUUUAUCCGAAAUGAUAAAAUAUCCCUGAAGGAUGGAUCAAUAUAAUGAACAAUAUGAUGUUUAGGUUUAAUUGAAUAAAUAUAUAUAACAGUAUCCCGAAGAUACAAUGUUAUGAAAUUGCGUUGUUAAAAUCAUGAGCUGAUAUUGUGACUAGUUGUAUUUUAUUAAAAUUGAAUUAUGAAGAUAAAGAUUAUGUAUUGCAACAAAUGACACCCCUCCAUUCCUUAGAAUAAAUAAGACAAUAUUAGANUUGCAAAAUGUGAUGAUUCUUAACUUGUGAUUUCUUAAAUUAUUUUAUAUAUGACAAAUAGGAUAAUAUGAGGAAAAUCUAGAUUAUGCAUUUGUGAUCAAUAAAAAAAUUAUGAGUUAUUAGUGACUCUAUAAUCUAAAAAUUGUAAGUGUUUAGUAGAUAAUAAGUCAUUGUAUGUGACUUUUUAAUCCGAAGUCGCCUCCCUCAAGUCAUUAGUUACUUUAAUAUGAGUUUGAAUUAUACUAAACUCAAUUAUUAUAAUAAGCUGCAAACGGAUUAGUGGAAUAACUAAUAUUUGUAUGAGUGAGACAAAAGAUUUCAAUACCUCUUAUUUUAGAUAAAUAAUGUGCGACCUUGUAUCUAGUUAUUGUCAAUGAAUUCACGAUUAAUAUAUGCUACCAAAGUCCUUGCAUACUUUUGGUCUGAGUAAAAUGUUUUAGAUACGUACUUUUGGAUUUACGUAAAUUAUUUCUAACUCUUUUGGAUUUGAUAAUUAUUUGAAUUUUAGUAAACUGUUUUGGACCGUUUUGGAAUUGGAUGAAAUAUUUCGGAUCUAUGUUCUCGACUUUCUUGGAAUAUGACUAUUUGUCUAUAUUUCAUCAUCAAAUCUAUGAGGUCAUCUAAAAUUUUGAGAUAGUCAAAAUACAUGUAUUAUGAUUUUGAGGUGAUAACUAGUGCAUACACAUAUUAUUUCUUUUAUAUUAAGUUGUCUUGCUCACAUGUUUGAAUAUAUUAUGUAUUGUGCAUGCUCCUAAUAACUGAUAUUUUGAAAUCUCCCUAUGAUAUUUUUGGUAAAUGAUUGAAUUUCAAUAUCACUACGUGACUUUAAACUUGUAGUUUGUUUACAAUUAGUAUUUGUGAAUGAGAUUCUUAUCUACUUGAGCUAAAUGAUGAAGGUAUUAUCGUCAACACCUAUUUGACGUAGUUUUUAAUGGAUUGCUUGUAAAUAAUUGCAACUAGAAGUUGCACAUAACAACCAGAAGUUGUCUCUAUAUAAAAAAAAANUAUUGAUGAUAUGACUUUAGGAGACAAGUACUCUACACUUAUUUAUGCCUAGUUUGGUUGAUUAUAACAUGAUUGCGUGUCUAUUUAUUGAUUGAUGUGAUAUUAAAAUGUUCUUUUUAUAUAUGAUGAACAUCUCUCAUGUGCAUAUAUUAUAUUCCAAGUGAUCAUAUUUUAUAUGCUUUUAAUUAGUUACGUUGGAUGAUCAUAGAGUUCUAUUAAGUUACCCCCAAUUAUAUGUGAACUUUACAUAAAUCAUGGUGAUUGGAUCUAUAUAAUGAAUAAUAUGAUGUUUAGAUUUAAUUGAAUAAAUAUAUAACAGUAUCCCGAAGAUACAAUGUUAUGAAAUUGGGUUGUUAAAAUCAUGAGCUGAUAUUGUGACUAGUUGUAGUUUAUUAAAAUUGAAUUAUGGAUAUAAAGAUUAUGUAUUGCAACAAAUGACACCCCUCCAUUCCUUAGAAUAAAUAAGACAAUAUUAGAAAAUCAAAGACCAUGUCUGUAGCAAUGGUCUGAUAUUACAAACAGUUUUUGAUCGUAUUCUUACCUUGUGUGUUAAAAAAUAUUUCCCCUGAAUGAUAUAAAGAUGUCCGAUAUCAAUACCAAAUUCUAAUAUGAGUCAUUCAAAGGGGGAGUAUUAUAUAGAAUGUCUCAUUAUAUAUUCUUCUAAAUAUAAGGCUCCCGAAGAGCAUGUAUAAGGCUCCUGAAGAGCAUGUAUAAUGCACCUGAAGAGCAUGUAUAAACCUCCUGAAGAGCAUGUAUAUUUUAUCAUAAAUAUUUUACUAUAGAAGAGUAGGUAUAUUAUCGAUGUAACUAUACUCUCCCAAACAAUUGAAGUAUAUUUUAUAUAAAAUUAUUAAUAUUGAUUUUGAAGUAAACCAGAAGUUUACUGAUAACUUUAUAAUCGGGCAUGACCAAUCAAGCCAUCAGUUAAUGAAGAUGCGAAUAGUAAUUGAAAUUUAUAUAUGAACUUUUGUUGAAGAACCUGCAGAUUCUUCUCAGUGAUACAUAUGUUAUUUGCUUGUAAGGCCUAAUUAAUCACCAGUAAAGUAAUAAUUGUGAUUUAUCAUCUUUGAAAAUGUAUUAAUGAAGACAUGACAUGAGAUAAAAAUCUCUCACUAUAGUAUAAUGAGAUAUUUUAUGAAAAAUAUGAUUAUAUAUCAAGUUAUUAUAACCUCGCCACAUUAAGUAUGCGAGAUUCAUUAUUUAGAGUAUGUGCUUAUAUAAUGCUGGUGAAUCUCAAAAUGAGUAUUAUCUUAUCCAUGAAAAUUGUUGAGUAUUUUGUAUCAUUUAUUUAUUUGAUUCGCAUCAUAUACAAAUUUUCAUAAUUUGUCCCGUUAUAAACAAAUUAUUUGGUCAUCAUAAUUUCUCCACCACGAUAAUAAGAUCGAUUCCACAAUUGAAUAUAUAUUACAUAUGAGUGCAUUUAUUUAUGACUUGAUUUAACAAGUUUGUUAUCCUGAAAUCAGGGGGAGAAAAUAAAUAGCUGGUGAAUAUUUUAAGAAUGAAUUAUCAUUGCCUCAUCUUGAUCCUCAAAAUGACAAAUAUGAACCAGAAGUUCAUAAGAUGAUUCAUUCAUAUAUCUGAUGACUAGAAAUAGUGAUUAUGUCACGAACACCGGCAUAUGCUCCAUUGAUAUUAAUAUUACAGAAGGACAACUUCAAGAUACUACUAUGUCUAAAGAACGCCUGAAGCGUGAUAGGCAAGUGGGUUCCAUAUCUUAUAAAAAAAAAUGAUUAUAAAUAUUUGAAAAGGAGCAACGAUUGAUGAUGGCUGGAUUGAGAAAUCAAUAACUCUUGAAAUAUCUCCAGAAGAGAUUAUAGACAUGGCAAGUUGGAGAACAAGUAAAAGUGUCCAAGAUUAUGACUAGAUUGAAAAGUCAAUAACUCUUGAAAGGUCUCCGGAAGAGAUUAUAGACAUGGCAAAUCAGAGAUAUAUAAAAGUAGUGAAAAUAUCGACAUCUUGCUAUAUUAUGUCAUAUCCAGAAUAAAAUGGAACCACAAAUCGGAUCGACGUCGAUGUUAUUUAUUGAACUUGGGGUUAUGAGUAAUAAUGAGGAUCAUGAGCAGAACCCGUUGGAAAAUAUUAACAAAUUUGACCAAAAAAAAUAAAAUAAAGGACAUAAUUGAGGCAAUUUUAAAGAAAUUUAUUUGGACCGGUAAUCCUUCCACACCUGAAGUUGUGAAAGUAGUGCGCCCUAUGAAUUAUUAUCUCUUAAAAAAUAGAGAAAUUUUUGAAACUGCAGUUCACACACUUAAAGGUGUCAAGUCAGUGGGAUAUGAAUGAUUAUUUGUGUGAAACAAAAUGAAGUUUCAGAAUUUAUAAAUGUAAAACUCAGAUUAUCGUACAAUGACCUUGUAUUGGUUAUGAAGAGAAAUGUAUCUUGUGGUGGAUAUGAUUAUUUGAUUGCUAAAUAAUCUCAGAAUAUGUGUAUGAGUUAAUCUAAGUUCUAUAUAUGACCCACUUGACAGUGAUUAUCCCAGAAGGAUCUUAACUGCCAGAAGCAGUAUAACAAAUUCUCGAGAACAUCACUCUCCUCAAAUUAAAAGGGGAUUUUUGGACCAGUAGUCCGAUAUAAAAUUAUUUCACAAAGUAAAUGUUAUCAUUAUAUAUCGAAUUAUAGGUGACAACUCAUAAAGUCUCUGGCCAGAGCAGAUGGAUACUAGAAUGUGUUUCUAGUUGACAUUAAAAUGAAUUGCACCUUAUAACCAAAAUACGUAUAUGUUAUCUUUUGUGAUGAAACUUUUGGUGAAUAUAUUGAAAUGAGAAUAUUCUUCUAAAUGGAUGAUAUAUUGCUAUAUGAAAAUCCUGGAAGGAUUAUAAAUACAUGAUAGUACACUGACCUUUAUGAAUAGUUGAUAUGAAGAAAGUUUCGGUCCUGAAGUACCGUACUUGACUAGAGUAAAACAUGUUUUAUUAAUUAUACAUGUCUUAAAUUAAGCAUAUCCUAUUUACACAUGUGUGAAUUCUCAGGUUACAUAAGUAUAAUUUUAUUCGAUCUGCACUAACCUAUCUCAUAAGGAUUUUUAGUUAAUAUUGCAGGAGCAAAAUGCUUAUUUCGAUUUCGAUAACGAGGGAUCUGCAAAUUGAAUAUUUAUAUAGAGUACAUUGGAGAUUUUCUUUUGUUGUGAAAUAUAUUAUUGCAGGCUGUAUCAUGUGCAAGGAAGGGUACAUUAAAGAUUUGUUCAUAUGGCACUUCUCACCACUACUUUCAAGAAAUCAGUACACAAGAUCGGGAUGCGCAUACUUCAAAAUAUUUGCUAAUUUCAUAAUCAUAUCUUGAUGAGGGGGAGACAUAAAUGAAAUAUUGUACAACUCAUGUACUCUUUUUCCUUCACUAGGGUUUUUCCCACUGGGUUUUUCCUAGUAAGGUUUUAACGAGGCAUGAUGUUGAUAUAAGUCAUCCAAGGGGGAGUGUUAUGAUAGGAGUGGAUGACUUUUGGUUUUUCCCAAAACUUUUGGCCUUUUGUUUACCCUCCAUAAUAUGUAUGACUUUUAACUUUUCAUAUGACUUGUAACUUACAUUUGAUGGCCUAUAUAAAGCCAUUUGUAUGAGUUUGUGAAAUACUUAAGAUGAACAAUGUUUGCUCCAUCUUUCUCUCUUGUCUAGCUCUCUCAAUUUCGUUUCUACAUAUAUUAUUAUAUAACAGGAAGGACUUAUUUUUCCAAAACACAGUUUUUGGUUAAAUUAUUGUUGAAGUUGUCAUCCAAUAUAAUGUCAUCAUUUUUUUAGAAAUUAAAUUAUUUUUUGCAUAUUUAGGAAGCCUCGAUAAAACAUUGUUGGAGAUGUCAUCAUCAUCCUGGAUUUUAAUAGUGUAGGGAGAUUGGGGGCAUGUAUGUUGAUUUCAUAUAACCACGUGAACAUGAUCGGUGGGUUGGAAGGUUUGGUCUCAUAGAAAUGAGUUGGUCAAGAUGUGUGGAAGCUUUAGUUUUAGAAGAGUUGUGGGUUGAUUGGUCGGGUGUGAUGAAAGGUUUAGUAUCGGAGUAGUGAGUUGGCCUGCUCAGCAGCAUUUACGAUUUUCAAACAAAUGCAGAUGAAGAAGACUACACCCACUUUCUGUACAUGUAAGAAUGAAAUAAUGAUGGUCAAGGAAGUAUUGCUGACUGGGGUGAGUAACUCUAGUUCUUCUGUUCAUAGAAACCACCUCUUGUUCCGGUAAUGUUUGUAAUCAACUUUUUAGUAUAUAGUAAAAUUCUUGAUUAAUUUGAUAUGAGAUAAGUUGAUGGUCUUGAACUUGUAUGUCUUAACAAUUUGGGAGAGUUCUGGUUCUUAAACAUAAUGGACAUUUUAAAAUAUUCCGACAUGAUUCAUUCGUAUGAUAAAAAUUAUUCAAGAUUAUUCUCCUAUAAGAACAAUUUGGGAAAGAAAAAAGUUUAAACGUCUUAAUUUGGGAAGUCUAAUAGUUGUUUAAUUAUAUGAGUAUCAUGAGAGCAAUAUGAAGCCUAUCGAUUUAAACAUAUGAUGAUGAUGAUCUAUGCUAUAAUUUUGGAAAUAUGUUAUAAAAAUUCACUUUAUUGAAGUCCUAUUUAUAUCCUAAAUUUUUAGAAUCCACUUUUCAUUACUCAUAAAUAUGUAGCAGCUAACUCAUUCCUUUAAUGAUUAAAUAUUCACUUCUCACAUUUGCACACUUUUAUCCAUUUUUUUUUACAUUAUGUUAUUGCUAAUAAAUUUUAGAUAUAGUACUAAAAUAAUAAGAAGAAACACAAAUAAAAAUUAUUGUUGGAGUUCCCUUUCAAAAUGAUGUCUUUUCAAAAUGAUGUCUGAAGAUGCUGUCAGGGUCCUAAAUUCAAAUUGGGAGAUGAGGGGGCAUGCGUGUCUGUAACUUCUUUGUUUGGUAAAGUCUUUUAAGUUUCAGAAAAGUAGUUUUAGAUCUAUCAUCUUGUAUUAUCAUCAAUAAGAUUUGCUCACUUUAAACUAUUUUCAAUUUUUUUAUUUUUCUUCUUACAUAAAAUUUGUAAAUAUUAUCCGUUUAUGAUGAUGGAUUUCUACUUUUCAAUCCCAAUAAUAAUAUAUUUGUAAGAACUUAAUUGAACAAUACAUUGAAAAUUACAAAAUUACAUAACUACAUAAAUUUCACUAUUAAUAUUAUUAUUUGCAUAUAACAAAUCAUAACACAUAUUAUCAUAUUUCACCCUCUAUGUAGGACAUAGUAGUCCUACAAGUAUACAAGUUAACACUAUCAUUAGUUGUUCUCAGGGAAUAGGAUAGGUUGUUGCAUCCGAUUAUGAGCCAUUUGCUGAAAAUUAGGAAGAGCAUGAUUUUGAGUCACCGUUGGUUGGGGACUUAAGCUAUUUAAUACUUGAUGUUGAAUAGCAUGGGGAAUAUAAUUUUGAGGCACAAUUGAUUGUGGACUCGUUAUACUUGACUGAUUAUAAUUCAGAGGAACAAAAUUCUGAAGAAUGUUUGGAUGAUGAUUUAUGUUAUUAAGCACUGGAUGUUCAAUAGUGUGGUGAACAUGAUUUUGCGCCAUGCUUGAUUGGGGACUUAAGAUAUUUGGUUGAAUGUCGGUUAAGGAACUAAAGUCCUCGACAAACCGGAUAUCAUUGAUACUAUGCUUGCGUUUGUCAAGGGGUGUGGGAUUAUCAAUGCGCUUGUAGAACUUUUGUGCAUGACUAGUAAUUUGAGCCGGGGUUUUGGUUUGCACAUAAAACUUUGACAUCUCUUUCCACUUCCCUUUGCCUAAUUUUUGCAGCCCUAAUAAGAACAACCUGUACAAAUAUUAGCCAAAAUAAUUAGAAUAAAUAUAAUUAUUAAAUCAAUGUUUCUUAACAAAAAAUGCACGAAAAUAGUGCUACAUACUUAUGUUCUUUUUGAGUCCAUUGAAUUGGCCUUGCCCUCGACCUUUUUGUCAUCUUCUUUUUCUCUGACGGACCACCACCAUCCUCAUUUGCAAGAUCUUUAGAGCCUUUAUUUGACGACUCAAGCACUUCUACAUUUCCCUGUAAAUCAUCAAUUAACUUGUUAUCUUCAAAUGUCCAUUCAUCGCCAAACUGAUUUUCUCGUAACUCCUCCAAUAACUUGUCAACUUCACAAGUCCAUAUGUUAUCACUAUGGUUUUCAUCAUGAUGGCCAUUCAUUUCUUACGGCUUGAAGUUCGACAAAAAAUAUUUAGAUAUUGAAAAGAGUUUUUAAGAAAUUCAGAUCUAUAGCUGAGUAUGAAAAAUGAGUCAAUAUGUGACUGAUAUUUAUAUUUGGCACAUGACCGGUGACUGGUGAGUAAUAACUGCGUAUCCUAAUGAAUAUCUGGUGGAUACGAUGAUAAUCUCAAAGAUAUAUAAGAGAUUUCACUUGAUCUGUAAAUAGAUGUUAUGUUCGUUGACUUGGAUAUUUACUCAUUUUAAAAUUUGAUCCUUAGAGUGGCAGUUAUUUACGUGUCGAUCACCAAUGUCGUUUUACUUUAACGUAUUAAAAUAAAUGGGAAGUCAUUCAAAAUUUUGUAUGGAAUGAAAAAAAAAAAUAUUUGCAAUCAAUAUACAGAUAAAUAAGAAAUUUAGAAAUAUGUUUUUUCCCCCGCACAUUUAGCAAUAUGUUUUAAGAAGGAAAUUGUGACCUAACAUAAUAAACAUAUAUGUGUAAUAAUAUUUUAAUGUGUUACUAAUGAUUAUUUUCAAUCAAUAUCGAAGAUAAUCAAAUUUAUUUAAUAUAACAGGCACUUAUUAUUUUGUGUUUUUUCGUGAUUACAAUAUACUUUCUAUUAGAUCAAAUAUUUACGGUCAAACUAUAAUUUUCAAUUUAGAUUUUUUUAUAUUUUAUUUUUUGGUGAUAAGAUUUUUAUCAUCUAUUUUUUCACAACAUUUCUUCAUACCGGAUAAGAUUAGAUGAUAAAUUUUUCAAAGGAAAAAGGUCUCAUCCUUCAAAUAUAUUAUAUUUUCUGUUGGAUACAUAAAAUUAACUUUAUUACUACUUCUAAAAGGUUAUUAAACGUAUUUGAUGUUGUAAUUAAUAUUAUAUAAAACAUAAGAAAAUUAUUAACUUGCUGCAUAGUAGUCUUGAGACAUAAAUUGUUAAUCAAAUGCUCAUAAAUAUAAUAUUAGUGUAUAACUAUUUAAUGAUAUAAUUAUAACUAUGUAAUUUACUUGGAUGUUAUAAAAAUAUCUUUUGUAUUCUAAUUGAAAAUUAUUUAUUACAUCAUUUUAUGUUAUUUUAUGUUUUUAUACUUUUCGAAGUUGAACCGAAGUUUGGUACUGCUUAUUAAUCAAAAAUUUAUUUUGUUUUAAAAUCGAUAUUGAUCAAUAAGAAUAUACGGAAAGUAGAAUCGAGACAAACCCCACCUACCGAUAUUGUUAAGUUGACAAAUAGAUAACAAUACUAAAUGUAAUUAGCUAAAUUGUUCACUCAUAGUUUAACACAUAUAAUUUAAAGUUUUUAAUUUUGAAAAUAAAAUCAAAAAUAUUUCAAGUGAUCCAAAUUGCACAUCUCAAAAAGCAUCAAAUUCGCAACUGACUUUAUCACACUGAAGCCAUUGUUAGACUAGUGUUCAAAAUCCUAAUCGUAUAAACUAAGAUGAGAGGAAUGACACCUUAGCUAUACCGGCUAUAAUCUAAAAGUGUAUGAACAAUCUUUAAUCACUUUCAUCGGCACAAAUUUGACGCGAGAAUUCUAUAUUCCAAAACAUCAAUAAAAUCAUUUUCAAUAAAUAGAACAUUGAAUAAAUCCAAAUGUAAUUGAACCAAAACAUAACGAAAUAGAGAUAAAACAAACACGCUCAUACACUCUAAAUAGAAAAAUACACGAACACUUGAAUAAUUUGAUUUUAUUGAAAAAAACCAUCAAAAAUGAAAGAAACAAGGAAAUUGAGUUCCAUCGGAAAAAACCCGGUGAAAUUCCAUCAACUAAUUUAAAAAAGGACAAAAAUAGAGAAUGAGAUUCGGCUUUUCAAACUCCGAGAAAAGCAAUUUUCACCGUUAUAAAUUUUGUUUGUGUAAACAUAAUUUUAUAAAUUCUUAAAAGCUCUCGGAAAUUGGACAAAACAAUGAGGCCGUUUGGAUAAAUUUAAAAUAAAUGUUUUUUGCUUAAAGUUAAAAAAAAUGAAGUAGAAAUCAGAAGUAAGUUAAAACUUAUAAGUGAUUUAAGGGUUUGGGAAAGAAAUAAAAAUCAUGAAAUAAAAGUAUUUUUAACUUCCAUAACUGUUUUUUACUUUUUACACAAAUGAUACCACCAAGUGUAGUGUUCGCCGAACACCGCAGACGUCUUUUUUCUGUAUACAAUUAUACGAAUAUCGAAUAUACAUAACGGCAAACAGUAUGAAAAGUUUCCAUUGAAAACCCUACCGUUAUACUAUUCUUAAACACUUCUGCAGCGCUGCAAUACCCAAUUGCUGAAUCAAUCAGUUCAGCUUCUUCAAUCCUAAGCAAAAGCUCAAAACUCACAGAAAAAUGACUAGUGGUACCGGAAAAGUCGUAAAUUUGGGGGGCAAGGGAUCUUCUCUCUCCUCAGCCUCUGUUUUUCAAGUAUCCACUUCUCUCUCUAGACUUUCAAUUGAUUCUUCCACAAAAAUCUCAUCUUCCUCCAAAACCCCACUUCCCAAACAACCCCUUAAUCCCAAUUCUCAGUUCUCUCUCCCUGAUUACUUAACCCCACUUGAAUUCAGAGCUUCUUUACUUGUUUUCUUGAAGAAACUCAUCUCCAUUUCUUUGCCCAAUUCAUCUGUUGCGGCUGAGAAGCUUCUGGGUGUUCUUAAUUCACCUGGGUCGUGUUCAAUUACUGCUGAGGAUUGUGAGUUCUUGAACCCCUUUGCGGGGUUUUGUGAUGUUAAUGCUUGUGUGUUGUAUGGUGUUUGUGCUCUUUUGGAUCACAGAUGGGCUGCAUUGUUGGGGGUUGUUGAUGCGGUUGCUGCUUUGUCGAUUGAGGCGCUGGGAGGUGACAUUGUUUCGUCUAAUAUUAAUUUGUUGAUUGAUUCAGGGGAUGGUUUAUCGGAUAAAGAUGAGGUUGGGGUUGCUAGUGAUCUUAAGGUAUUUCUAAAUGGUUCUAAAUUGGUAGGGAAGAAUCAGGUUAAGGGCUAUAGUGUGCAAGAUUUGGAUGUUAUUCCUGAGACUCAUGGACUUUUUAGAUUGAUUUCUAGAACUUUACAUGCGAAAUCGCGGGUGUUUUUGAAUUCAUUAACAGCUGGGAGUGGAAUCGUGGUGCUUUUAGCAUCUUUUGCUGAUGGGAUUUUGAAGUUGGGGGAGUCUAGUUGGGGUAGAAGUAGCCUUGUUGUUGGUUCUUUGGGGAACAAUGAGGCUCUGUCGUUUAUUACUCGUUUUGUUGAAAUGUUUAAAGCAGAAUGCCCUGGGAUUGAUAGAUUGAAGGAGGUAUACAGUUCUGCUUUAGCUGCUAAAAGUGGUGGUGACAACCUAAAGUUUGUUCAUGACAUUUUUAUUUUGUCUGACCUUGUUGGGACAAUUUUUUCUUGGGAAGCUACAGCUGCAUUUAUCUCACUUACCCUUAUCAGCGGUGCCGAUAUAUUUAAUGCAAAAGGUAAUGUGGCGGUAGUGGAGGCAACAAACAAUGUAGGAGCUGAUAAUAGUAAAGCUAAUGAGAAGAAGCAACAGAAGGAAAAGAAAAAAAACAAGGUUGCUUUUGGUAAAGGAACUACUGCAUUUAUGCAGUAUCUUCAGGAUAGGCUGCAGCUUACGGCUUCUGGAGAUAUAGAGACAUGGGUGCAGCAGUUCCUCUCAAUUUUGGAUCUGAAGGACCCUGGCUAUAUUAGCUUACUUGAGAAAAUUAAAGAUAUUGUUGACAGCAAUGAUAGCAGAAGGCUUCCCAAGCUUCCAAAGGUAUAUGCUCUAACAGGUUAAAGAACACAUGCCAGAAGCUUGCUUUAUUACGCUAUGAUGUUAUGACGAUUUCUUCAUAUAUUUCUAUCAUACCAAUGAACUAGUGCUAAAUUGUUUACACUGAGUGACAAUAUCAUCAUUAUCGGUAUUGAGAUUCUCUAGAUGCAGUCCAUCAGUUAUUGAGACUCUCUAGAUGCAGUGUAUAAAUUGUAGAUAUCGCAGAAAUAAGUAGAUCUUUAGUAAAUUGGAGGCCUUCAAAUUAGAUCAAGGUAAUCUUUAUGUUACAUUGUUGUUCCUGAGUUCCUCUAUUAUAGAAUGUUCAGAUGGCCUUUGGAAAUUGUAAGAAACUCAACUACCAGAUAUAAUUAAAUGCUUAAAACUAGAUUCAUGGUUUUUCGUGUGGGGUAAAUGAGCCGUGUUUUUACUUUGAUGAGCUCAUGAGCCCCUAGAAAAUCAAGGUAUGUUCCACGAGCUACAGCUGCUACUUGUACACUAGUUGUGGCGCACUCUAGUCUAUCUUUACACACGUUUUUUUAUUGAUGUGCAACUGGUUAACAAGAUACUCAUUGCAAUGCCUCAGAAUACCAAACAUAAUGUGAAGUGGUUUCUCAUAUGGCAGCUAUCUUUAGUGACCAAGACUCUCUUCCUUAAACAACUAUGGAUUAUCGAUUUUAUAAAUUUCUUCAUUUGCAGUAUUAUUUUACUUGUAUUGGUUGUAUUUCUUCAGAAAUUUGCGCUACAGUUAUUCUUUGACACUAUUGUUAAAACCUUGUAAUUUUUUAUUUUUCUUUGUUACUAUCAGGGUACUCGUGAUUUUGCCAAGGAACAGAUGACUGUGAGAGAGAAAGCAUUUUCGAUAAUAAGCAAGGUUUUCAAGAAGCAUGGUGCAACAGCCCUCGAUACACCUGUCUUUGAAAUGAGGGAGACUCUAAUGGGUAAAUAUGGAGAGGAUUCAAAAUUGAUUUAUGAUCUUGCUGAUCAGGUACAUCAGUUGGAUUUAUUUUUUGAAUCUUUCUAGCUGGGCGGUGCUAUGCUGUGGGGUUUCCUGUAUGGAUUUGCAUAUCAGAUAUUAGAUUCUCUUCUUGUGUGAAUCGUGUGCAUUAUAUAUAAUGUGCUGCUUGUAAUUGUGUGAAGAUAAUAGGAAAUCCAGGAACAAAAUAGGAAGUGCUUAUUGCUUAUAAGCGAGAAGUUAUUUUAAGUGAAAAGCAACUUUUAUUUUAUGUGUUGGGAUAAAUUUUUUGGUAUUUACUGUAUAACUUAUCCGGUAUAAUUAUUAUUAAUAUUAUAAUAAAAUAUUAUAAUUUUUUUUUGAAGUGAUCCUUUACAUUUUUGUGAAAUCAAAUUUCAAAAAUAAAAAUAAGUCAUUAAAAAAAGUUAGGAUUUUCAACUUCUCAUAUUCUGGCUUAUAAGUGGGAAUUUGACUUUUAAGUUCUUUACACAAGCGGUACAAAUAAGCUGCUUCUGACUUAGCCAGCUGGGCUUUUAAGCCUAGCCAAACACCCUCUAUAUAAUAAUUUGCACUUCAUCGUCCCUUGUUAAAGUUUUUACUUUCUUUGUGUCAGGAAAUAUGAUAAUUUUUGUUGUUAUUAUAUGGAUCUGAAUCGCACCCAAGUCACAACUCACAGACACUUUUUUUAAUCAAAAAUAGCCUGAACGUUAGGAUGAAAUCUUUUGUGUUGAAAGCAAUAUCAGCUUGGCUGAGUUAGUCCCAGUACUAAUAUUUGUCUUGAGAAGAUAGAAAGAAUACACUCUUAGUUGUGUUCAAGUCGGAUGUCAUGUAUAUUUUAUUUCUUAAAAAUUGAGAAGUCUUUAGGAGCCAUUCUGAACAGAACAUUUCCAAAGUAAGUUCAAGAUUGCAGAAAAUGUUUACUUUAAUUAAAUAUGAUAGUCCUGGCAUGUAGUCCGAAUAGAACAUAAUGUGCGUGGAAGACACUAUCUGUUAUUCUGUCAGUUACUUACAUUGAAACUUGUAUACUUGUUUCAGGGUGGAGAGCUUUGUUCCCUUCGCUAUGACUUGACGGUCCCCUUUGCCAGAUAUGUUGCUAUGAACGGACUUACAUCAUUUAAAAGGUACCAAAUAGCAAAAGUCUACAGAAGGGACAAUCCUUCCAAGGGGAGAUACCGUGAAUUCUAUCAAUGUGAUUUUGAUAUUGCUGGUAAAUUUGAAAAGAUGGGACCAGAUUUUGAGGUCAUAAAGAUUUUGACUGAACUACUGGAUGAGCUAAAGAUUGGGGAUUAUGAGGUAAUUAGCUCAUAGUUUCAGUGAAGUUGGCUAGUUUUAUCUCCCUUUUUGUUUUUGUACCAGUAUGCUCUCCAUCUCUCUGAUUAUAUGGUAAUCCUUGUACAAGAAGCAAGGUGCAUCAAAUUUUAAUUUCAAAAUUUUGUGCUAGUUUAGUGGUGUAAGAUCUUUUGUUCAUCUGAAGUGAGUAUUUGCCUUAAUAGAGAAGUGGCCAUCUGUAGACCCUUGUAAAUUAGAAAGGGGUAACAUUGGUGCAGUUGUGGGCUAAACUGUUGGUUAUAGAGAUACUUUAUGCUUGUAACCUAAACAGUAUCUAUGGAAGAGUAUUUUGUAGCUGUUUUUCUGUUAGUUCUGAAUUUUUGAACUGCAAGUUGGUUGCAAAAAAAUCUUGAUCUUAGUUUGACAAAAAUAUAUAAUACUUAUUAGAGAACUAAAGAAGUAAAGACAAUUAAAAUGUCUUGAUGCAUUCCAAAUGGCUAAUAGCCAUAUGUAUGAAAUAGUUAGAAUGACCAUUUGAUCCCCAUGUAGGGUAAACGCAAAUUAGGAUUGAUAUUUUUUUCAUGCGUUUAAUUACUACCUAUAUGUUUACUGUUGCCACAGGUGAAAUUGAAUCAUCGGAAAUUACUGGAUGGAAUGCUAUAUAUAUGUGGAGUACCUCCUGAGAAAUUUAGAACCAUUUGUUCAAGCAUUGACAAGUUAGACAAGCAACCGUUUGAGCAAAUAAGGAAGGAAAUGGUAAGGAACUUAAACUGUGUGUGCAAACUUGUUAAACAGUGGUCUCUGCAGUUGAGGGAAUUAAAUUUGUUAUAACCGUCUACCUAUUUCUAGGUUGAGGAGAAGGGCUUAAGUACUGAAACCGCGGAUAGGAUUGGUACUUUUGUGAAGAAUAGGGGACACCCUCUGGAACUAUUAUCUGAGCUGAAACAGGAGGGCAGCGAGUUCGUAAAGAAUAAAGAAGCAUCAGAAGCACUGGAUGAGCUAGAGAUCUUAUUUGAAGCUUUAGAAAAGUCAAAAUGUAUUGAUAAAGUGGUCUUUGAUCUCAGUCUGGCCAGAGGUCUUGACUAUUAUACAGGAGUCAUAUAUGAAGCUGUGUUUAAAGGAGCUACACAGGUAGGCCUACCUUCAACUACAGAAUUUCUAUUUUUAUAUUCUUUUGGCCUUGACCAGAAGACAAUAUGUAGAAAGGGCAAUAAAUCACUUGCAUGUCUUUACAAAUUUUUUUUGAUUCUUUUCUUCUUUCUUUGUAGUGAGAGUUCCUUGGCCCUUUUAAAAAAAUCUAUUUACCAUGGUGGUCGGAUAUUAUCUGGAAUUUACUAGCUAUACAGCCCUUAAUACCCAAUUGAGUUUAGAAAAUCACAUGUUACUGCCUACCAUAAGUUAACAAUAUAGCUUCCUUCAUUCAUUAACUCGAUUCCACCAUCAUGUAUAGAUUUAGAUGUGAUGAUCUCAUAUUGGAAUAAGUUGGAUGGGUUUUUUGAGGGCUGGACAUAUACCUCUGUAAGGAGCAAAAUGAUCACCUAGUUUCUUAUAUAAUUAGCAUAACCAAAGAACCGCAUCUGCUGAGAUCCUCUGUGAUAAUUUUGUAAGGUCCUAUUAAGCAAUAACGAAUGCAACCCUGAAAUAUCAAUCAGCCCUACCAUUUCCUGUUAUUUUAUCGCGCACGACUCUGCAGAUUGAUUGUUGCAACGGUAUUGAUGUUAUGUAACUUCCUUUUUCUUUAGGUCGGUUCAAUUGCAGCUGGAGGACGUUAUGACAAACUAAUUGAAAUGUUUGGUACAAAGGAGGUUCCAGCUAUUGGUGUCAGUCUAGGCAUAGAACGAGUAUUUACUAUAAUGGAACAGAUCCAGAAAGAACAGAACCAGGUACUCUAGCUACAAUAUGUUUGAGAUGCUGUUUUGUUAGUCUUGUAGUUUAUGAUUCAAGGUAGCAUUUAGGUUGUUGAUAAGAAUUUGGCGUAAUGCAGUAAGAUAAUACUAUUAAACUGUAGUUGAAAGAAUGAGCUACAUGAAAGAAGAUAUCUGGUUGAAAUUCUGUACUAAUUCUGCUCGGUGGUUUUUUUUUCUACAAAGUGCAUUUUCUUUUGGUUUAUGUUUAUUUUUUCAUUAAAAAAUGAAAUAGUUAUUAUUUAUCAAAGCAGGAUUGACAUAUCUCUAUGUGUUUGUUACAUAUGUGCAAGAGGAAUGCAUAAUCAAUAGAUUGAUCAUUCUCAAAUAUAGGAGCAUCCUAAAUUAAAUUUGUUCUCUGUACACAGACUGUACGAGCUACAGAAACACAGGUCUUGGUGAGUAUUCUGGGGGAUAAUCUGUCACUAGCUGCUGAGCUAGCUAGUGAAUGUUGGGCUGCUGGAUUGAAUACAGAGUACCUGGUAAACAAGAGAGUGACGAAGCACUUCGAUCGUGCUAAAGAUUCGAAGAUCCCUUGGAUGGUAAUUGUUGGUGAUCCCAAAGUCAGCGAAGGAAUGGUGAAAUUAAAGAAUCUGGAGGCUAAUAAAGAGGAGGAAAUUCCUAGAAGUCAAAUUGUAGAGGAGCUGAGUAAACAUUUGAGCAACACAUCAUCCUGAAGAAAGUAAAUCAUUUUUCACGUGUAAAACCACACAACUACAUGUUAUGAAGAUGUCAUCUUUUAGUUAGAAAUGAAAUGUUUUACAUGGCACUGCUGAAUAGAGUAUGUUCUAAAGAUUAAUUUGUGUUUCGGGGUGUCAUUGCAGAAUGAACAACUGUUGGACCUUUUAAAUCAAUGGUUUUUGUUAUUUUAUUUAUUUUUGAUAUUUAUAUAGGUAUUGGAAUAUCUUUUGAGCCGGAAUUGUUAUCAGAUUAGCUAUUGUCUCCGGAUUCCUGAAAAAUGACCUCUGUUUUACCUCUUUCUAAGGAGGAUAUAAUCUUUCUCAAGUUGUAUUUUUUUUUUUUUACAGAUUUCCAUUAUUUUGUAUACAUGACAGUCAAAUGAUGAAAAUAAUCUUAUAAUAGUAAUCGAAAUUUCCCGGAAAAUACAGUUUUUGGUUUAAUGUUUGGCCAAUGCAAACACGAAUUUGUAAUAUGAAACAAACAACACAAAUUUUUUUGCGUUUGGUUGGGGAGAAUGAAAUGUAAUGAGAAAAAAUACUUGAAAUUUGAAACUAAUAGAGAUAUGAUGAAAGUUUUGGAAAAAAUUUGAAGGAGCGCAAAAUUAGUAUGAUGAGAUUUGUGAUGAAAUUGAGAAUAGAAUUUCAUCUUAAAUUGAAUGUGUGAUCUAGCACGGAAAGAAAUGACCGAAAGAAAGAAAUUUUUUUCAAUUAGAGGAUUGAAACCAAAUAUUGGUGAGCCAAGUAGUCCCGUAGAAAAGACACGCGUAAGCCGCCAAGCGGGUUUGAAGUGGCGUGUAAUUAGUCUCAACGACGCCGUUAUCGUCCAACUGCUUUCAAAUCAAGUCUCUUCUGCGCUCUGCUGACUCUCAUUCAGAUUCAUCUCCGCAAUUACACACACACACAUCUGUAAGUAUGUUACUUUUACUCUUAUUACUCUAUCAUCAACUUUAAUUGCUUCAUUUUUUAUUUUUUUUGUUAAUCAACUCUUUAAGUUAUUUUUUAAUCUCUCCCUGUAUAGAUAGCACUUUACUCAUCACCUGCUUAAUUAGCUUCAUGAUCUUGGAAUGCCACAUGUUUUUGGCCUUUUCGUGUUUUAAUUCUAUUAAACUUUGCUAAAUUUAAACUUUCUAAUUAAUUAGUUGUUUAUGUUUGUUCACUGAAUGCUUAAAAUCACAACCUCUUUAAAAAAAAACAAGGGCAAUGCUGCGUAUAUAGGAACCUUUCCGAGUAUGUGUCCUUAAAAAUUACAUUUGUGCUAACCUAAUACGAUAUUACUCUAUUUUAAUCUAAGCGUUUGAAGUAUAAUGGUAUUUGCGUAGUUGCUGUGUUGUAUGUUGAAAAAGUUGCUUGUAUUGUCAGAAUGGCCGCUGCUUUCCACCAAGCUAUAUGUGGCAAUCAGUUGCACGGAUACAAUGACAGUUUGUCUUCUUGUGAUGAAUUAAGAAACUUCGCAAUGAUGCCUCGUUUUUCUUGUUUUGGUACAAGUAAGAUACCGUUGAACAAAGCAAAGUGCAUGUAUAACCAUUCAAAAGUGUUUGUAGUACGCGCAUCAGUUUCAGAUUCUAUAGUAUCCUCUCUGGACAGUAGCGAUCACGAUUCUUGGAAAAUGACAGGUAAAUAGAAUCUCGACUAUCGAUUCAUAUGUGAAUGGUAUGCUAAGGCUAAAUGACUGGAUUUGAUUUCUGAACUGUUAGAUGAAUCUGCAUUGAUAUUACUUAGACAUGGGGAAUCAAUGUGGAAUGAGAAGAAUCUGUUUACCGGUUGUGUUGAUGUACCAUUGACUAAUAAAGGCGUAGAAGAAGCAAUUGAAGCUGGUAAGAGAAUUAGAAACAUACCUAUCGACCUCAUAUACACAUCAGCUUUGGUCCGGUCGCAGAUGACCGCUAUGCUUGCCCUCACCCAACAUUGCUGUGAGAAGGUAUAUAUGCAUACUUACCUAAGCCUGGAUUGUAUAUGGUUUUUAAAAAAUAGCUUUGGGUAAUAUGUGGCUCAUUUAUUGGGGUUGAUUGUGUUUCAUGGCCUUUUGUAAUCAUCGCGUGUCACUCUUUAGUUUAGUGCUCCCGUAUUUUCACAGAGUACAUGUCUUAACUCUAGAAACCAAUUUGAUAUUGUGUUUCAUGACCUUUCAUAAUCAUCUUAUGUCACUCUUUAAUUUAGAGGUUCCCAUUUAUUCACCGGGUGUAUGUCUUAACUCAAACAACCAAUCUGAUUUCUACUUAUUUUAAGUGAUUAGAUUUCACUAGAAUUUAGAAAGAGACUUGAUAUGAACUUAACAUGUCAAUAUGAUGGAAAUGGAUCUUUAUUGAUUCAAUCUUUGAUAUUAGAGAAGCCGAGAAGGUAAGAAUAAUCAUUCUCCUACAAACGAAAAUGUCUUUAAAGCAGGGAUGGAGCUAGCAUUUCUCGAUGAUGGGGGGUGAAUUUUUUCACAACUAUUAUAUUAAAUGUUUAGAUAUUUAAUUCAUAAUUUAUUAAUCCAUAAAAUCCAUAAACUAUUAAGUUAAUAAAAUCUGGUUAUUCACAUAUUUUGAGGGGGCGUAUUCGUCACGCCAUCCCCUGUCGACGUCCCUGCUAUAAAGUGCAUUAUGUGAAAUCUUCUAAUUUUCCACUUUAUAUGGUUAGUCAUGGAAGCUAUCAUUCUUAGGUUACAAUUAAAAGUUGAUCCAAUUUAAAUACUCACAACCUAUAGUAGUAGCGUAAAAGCCGUAAGCCAGAACACAAGGCAGCUUCAUGUCUUUAGAAAAUUUACAUGCUUAUAUGAACAUAUCAAGAUUCCAGAAUUUUCCAUAUUGCUAACUUUUCUUUUGAUUGGUAAUUUUCUGACAUAUUGCCUGCUCAAAAUUUUUAAAAGAUCUGUUGUGUUUGCUGCUUGUUUUUGAAUUUGAGGUGUAAUGUCAAGCUUCUGAUAUUUUGGUGCACCCUGUACGUCAUUAUAUAUAGAUUAACUGUAUAUGUUUUACUAAAACUGUUUUGGGUCUAUAAUUUUUAUGAUAGUAAACUUAGGGCUGUUCACGAACCGAGCCGAGCCGAGUUUUGACCGAACCGAGCCGAGCUUUAAUUUUUUUUCUGACGAGCCGAGCCGAGCCGAGCCGAGCUUUUUUAUCGAACAAAAAUUGUGUUCAAGCUCGGCUCGUUAACUAACGAGCCGAACACGAGCUUGUUCGCGAACAAAUACAAGCCGAGCCGAGUCGAGUCGAGUCGAGCCAGAAAAAAAAUAAAGACAAACCGCUAGUUGACUCUUAAAAUAGCUAACCAAAUAAUUUUAAUUUUUUUGAAACUUUGUUUAUAUCACUAAAAUGUAUAUAUGUUAACAUCCAUACGGUUGGAUCGGAAAGAAAUAUUUUUUAAAAAAUUGAAACACUAAUUUAGGAUUAAACACUAGUUAGCGGUACUAGUUAACCUUCUACUUGACUGUUAAAAUAGCAAACCAUAUAAAAUUAUCAUUUUCCGAAAUUUUGGUUACAUCACUAAAAUAUAUAUAUAUAAAUUAUAUGUUGAAUUCUGAGUUCAAUAACAUAUAUAAAUUAUAAAAAAAACCCAAAAAUAUUAUAUUUUUUCGAGCUUUAACGAGCCGAGCUCGAGCCGAGCUCGAGCCGAACAUACUAAAAGCUCGGCUCGAGCUCGUUUACUUGACGAACAAUUUUUUGUGUUCGAGCUCGAGCUCGUUAACUUAACGAGCCGAGCCGAACGAGCUCUUAACGAGCCGAGCUCGAGCUUGUUCGCGAACAGCUCGGUUCGUUAAACAGCCCUAAGUAAACUAUUAUUGAUCUAGCUGGAAAUUUAUAUGCUUGUCAAAAAUAGUAUAGAGAAAAGUUAUGUAAAUUCGCAACUAACUUUAAGCCUAAUUAAUGUUUUCAGGUGCCUAUAUUUAUGCAUAAUGAGACUGAACAAGCAACGUUAUGGAGCCAAAUAUAUAGUGAAGACACAAAGCGACAAUCAAUUCCAGUUAUCAAAGCAUGGCAACUGAAUGAAAGAAUGUAAUUGCAUGUCUAUUAUGUUGUCUUCAUCCUCAAAAGCAUAUUCUUCCUGUACUCAGAUUUAUAAAUUUACAGGUAUGGGGACUUGCAGGGUCUUAAUAAGCAGCAGACAGCUGAAAGAUUUGGGAAAGAGCAAGUCUACAAGUGGCGAAGAAGUUACUAUGUUCGUCCACCAAAUGGAGAGAGCUUGGAAAUGUGUUUGGAGAGGGCUGUUUCUUAUUUCAAAGAGCAGGUAAACAUGCCUAGGAACAUAUGUGAUAAUUAAAAUUUAAAACCCUCUCAAAUUCUCUUGUAAGGUUUCAAGCUUUUAAGAUGGUACCAUACAUGUACUAAAAUAUAAAGUAGUCAUUUGUAAUUACCAAAAGAUUAAUAAUUGUUGCAUUGCAGAUUGAGCCACAACUUCUUGCUGGAAGGCAUUUAAUGGUCGUUGCUCAUGCCAAUUCACUAAGGUCUAUUAUAAUGUAUCUUGACAAAUUAACACCUCAAGAGGUAACAUGAAACAUUUUUGAGUCGAUGCUCUUAUAUAUAUUGUUUUUUUUUCUUUGAUAAGUUCUUUAUACAACUUAUAGUUGAUUGUUUUCAAAGGUAAUUAAUUUAGAACUCUCAACUGGGGUACCAAUGCUGUACAUAUAUAAAAACGGAGAAUUUACCAGAAGAGGAAGUCCUGCAGCACCUGCUGAGGCUAGUGUUUACUCUUAUACAUGGGUAUGAUUAUACACAUAUCUGCUAGUCUGAGUUUGCCGUUGUAAUAUAGAAUUCAUUCUUUAUCGACAUUCUUUUUUAUGAUAUUUCUCUCGCGUGCAGAAAAUAUAGAAGAUGUAACAAACAUAUUUAACUAAAUAUUUUUCAACACUUUGAGCUGUUUCAGCUUACCAGCUCACCAAUAUUUUUAGUUUAAUCUAAUUUACAAAAAUUUUGAGCUGUAAUAUAUUGUUUUAAAUGGAGUUAUUUCAAAGACCCCUCCUAGUAAUUCUUUUCCAUUUUGUGAUAUCAUAAAUUAUUUAGUUGGUGCCUUUUUUUCCUUCUGAACAGUAGCUCCUAUACUUGGACAUCUAUAGACUAUAGAGAUUGUAUGGUAUCUUCUUUGCUGCUUUGUUUUGCUAAUAUGCUUCCCUUAUAUGCAGAAUUUGGCUCUUUACAGGCAGAUGUUUGACCAAAUGUCACCAUGAAUUUUUGAAAUGAGGUAAGCUGCAUAAUCCGUUUGAGGGAGAAUGACUGAUAUAUCAGAUCACUAGGUUGUAGUUCAUUACAUCUACAAAGAAAUCAACAUAUAAUUAUUCAUGAAAUCAAUAUAGUUUCAACUUAUAACAAUUAAGGAUAUUAAUCGGCACAUGCGAUCGCUGUAUGAAGUAACACAUAAUAGGGUUUCAAUGGAGAUAUUUGUCUGCAUCAAAGAGCUAUAACAUGUCUUACACAUACAUAUAUUAUUGUAAGAGAGAAGCACACUGAUAUCAUAUUAAGGGCUACAAAAUUACAAUAGAAAGGGAUAGCGAAGGUAAAAUUAUAUGUAGAAACACUAUUAGGAUUGCUUGUUAGCUAGUGGCUUAGAGCAAGGGUUCAAUCUUCUUUAGGUGACUGGUAUCCUAAAUCCCAUAUUGAAGUCGUUCCCAUUUCAUUCCAAACCUCUUUAGUUAGAGCCGUGUUCAAGUCCACUUUUUCUCUACGGGUGCCAUAAAGUUCUUCGAACCAAACCUGUUCAACUACAUCUUCUUCCCAGUACUGUCCAUAUUUCUCUACUAAAUUUAAAUUCGCUUGCUUCUCUUGUGCAUCAAGAUGUUCUUCGUCCAUUUCUAUAUCCAUUUCCAUCCACUCUCCAUCAUUUGUAACAUUUCUCUUCUUCAUCCUUCCCUCAUGUUGUGCCACUUCUAUAUUAAUUAGGGGAUGUUCAGUCGUAGCAGUGUAUGUGGCAUAUGACCCUAGUGCUUUUGGAACUUCAAAUAUAUUGUGGUGACCACAGCUAGAUUGAUGGUCAGCUUGCAAGUUCUUGUUACUAAAGCCUAAUGGUAGCUCAGUAUGUGGGCGUGCAGAGUUUUGGUAAGCAUAUAACUUAUCCACCGACCUCUCUGAAUCAAAUUUAUAUUUCCUUUUUUGAUAGUUGUGCAACGUAGAGCGGUCCAAAGCGCCUCCAUGACCUUCCUUCACAGAUUCAUUCGAUUCAGGUGUUGAGAUGUUGAGUGACUUCUGUGUCAACUUUACUAGAACUUCUUCUUGGUUAAUUACUUUCGACAAAGAUGCAGUUUCUUUUGAGGUCAUUUUAUUUUGCAAGCACUUGGACUGCUUAACUAACCGUCUCGUACGGUCUAAAUUAAGAGACAUGUGUUUGAUAAUAGCAGCCAAAACACUUACUUUCCAAGCCUUUUUCAAAUCAUGAGGCUUCUUGUAAGGUGGUGGCCCUUGUUCUUGGGAAGUUGACCCUUGAUCACCCCACCAAAUUUCGUUUCCAUUGGGCCACCACGGAGGGGCCAAACCCCUCUCCAAAGGAAACCUCCUUUGUGGAGGGAUGCAGUGUUGCAUGAGAAGAGAAAUAAGUGACCCUAAAGUAGUAUCAUGCAAGUCUUGCAAAUGAUGCAUACAUGAAGUUGGGUCCAUCUCAACAGCUUGUUCUAUUAUUGAUGGCAAGAAAGUGGCAAUAGCAGCCGGAGCAUUAAGAUCAAACCGCACACUCUCUUUCCACCAACUACGUAGGCUGUCAGAGGAGCCUGUCACAGGCUUCCCUUUUUCAGUUACUAUACCAUACACAAACCCUUGUGCAUUACAAACCUCCAUGAUCUUUACCAUAUACUUAAGGACGGCAUCUUGAGAUCUUGACAUCUUUUUUCGCCUUAACUGCUCGAGUCUAGCCUCAGAUGAUUCGGGCUCCUCCCUCUUGGCUUUCAGCUUUUGCAUGCGUAUACGAUCCUUACGCAUUCUAUUCUUUAGAUCAUUAUAACUGAUCUCUUCAUCUCCGUCAUCUGUUAUAUCUUCGGUGGGACUUUGAACAUCAAUCUCUUCGUGUAUCUCCACCAUCUCAACUUUUUGUGACCAAGGGUGGAAGGAAACCACACUUGAUAUCUAUGAAAUUUUUGAAAAGGAAGUAUGCAUGGGUCAAAAAAGUACAUCAAAGGGUCUAUAUAUAGUCAUUCUUGCUUUCUUGGUAAGUUAGUAGGAUUAGAUAUUUGUAGUGUGGCCAAGGUCGCAAUAAAUGUGGGGUUCUGUGGGAUAUUUCCUAUGCCUGAUGACAGAGAUGGUUUUAUGGAAAAAGGUGUAUUUGAAUAUAUGAACAUAUGUUGAGGUGUAAAAUUGAGGAAUUUGAGGAAUUUGUUGCAUGGGAUAAGCAAUAUUUGAUGUAAAUAACACAUGUAGAAAGAUGAUGAUACAGGCACAUAUUUUUGUUUACUGAAAAUUGAAAAGAAUACACUGGUCGGUUCCCAGGGAAAAUAUAUUUAUUUGAGCUGGUCAGCACAAAAAGUCUAGUCCUGGCAUGAAACCCAUGUCAUUGCUGGCGUGAGAUCUUUAAAGAAGAAUUACUAUGUGCGCUGUCUGAAUAGUACAUAGUAUGCUGACCUGUGGAUUAGUUUGAUUCAUCAAGCCCCUGAACUCCUGAAUACCGUGAAGUUUGUUUCAUCCAUUAAAAUUUUUGGAUAGGUUUCUUUCAGUAAUCAGACUGAUGCUGCUACUAUGAAAUUUCAGGAUUCAGGGGGUAGAAGCAGCCUUUUUAAAUUUCAUCAGGCAGUCAGCUUAGCUUACCUUCUGUAUAUUUAUUGGAUAAUUGGAGAUAAAUCUGAGUAUGAGUAAAGAUGUAUUUCAAUAUUAUAUUGGUUGACAUAAUUAAUUCACUAUUUCCUGCUCAGGUCUGAUUUGUUUACCUGCCUAAAAGUGGAGGAUCCAGGAAUUUUACCAAGGACUGCUGUGGCGUUGUACAUUGUGUAUUAUUCAACCAGCACACAAGAGAUCAAGAUAUAUGUAACAUUAUUCAACCAGCACACAAGAGAUCAAGAUAUAUGUAGCAUUCGAACAACAUGUUUGUUAAAUAGUUGAAACUAUUACUUGCAACUCUACAGAUUUGAUAUUCUGAUAUUUUUGAAUUUCAUUUUGUCUAGAUAGUUUAUAAAAUGUCUUGCUGAGCUUAUCAUUCAUCUAAUCAGAUCUCUGAUUAUGUUGCGGAGCUUUGGACAACAUAUAUUCCUUUAUUGCUUGUUUGGAAACUUGGAUUUCAUUUGAAAUCCUGGAUUUUGGAUACACAAAAAAAAGUUGGAUUGAAUUUAAUUUGAAAUCCAGAACAUUUAAAUAUUAGUAUAAAACUGGGAAUUUGAAAUGAAAUAUAUGUUUUCAAAUUUAAUAUUACAGAUUAGUGGUGUGCCCUUUUACUCUCAACUGUUGAGAUAUAAAAUCGGUAGAAAAAUUGUUGUAGAAAUCAUAUAAUUAUUUGGUGAUUUGAGGUAUAAUGUAAAAAAGAUAGAUAUUAGAUUAAAAUUUGAUGGUGAAAUCCGUGACAGCUUCCCGCAAAAACUUAAAAUUAUUUCUUCAAAAGUAUCUUUAAAAGUGGCUUUUGUGUUGAAAGUUGUUUUUAUAUUUAACAAACAGUUUUUCACAUAUUUUCAGAAAAUAAGUUGUUGUCUGCUGCACUCUCUGUACUUGGCAAUGUUGAAAAGUUGGGUUAGUGUACUCUGAUAACUGAAUUUGCUGGUUAAAUCCUUAGAAACCACUCUGUUACUCUGCACACUUUGUUGAAGGGACAAACAUUUACAAUUACAAAGCUAAGCAGAAAAUGUUAUUUCAGGGGAAUGAUUGCUUUCCUAUGCUACGGAAAUACGAGUAAGAUUAGAUUGGGUGGUGGUGGUUGGGAUGCCUGGUUUUUUUAACUUUCACGAUUUUCCGGAGGAUAUUUUUUAUUAUCCCCUGCUUUGUAAGACGAUUUUCAAUCGAAUUGUUUUUUUAUUAUUAAUAAAAUCGAGGCAUUUAUACUGGCAACUCAAUUUGUAACAGACUCGUGCGAUGAUAGCAGCAAAUACAUCAUUAUGCAUCUCAAGCUCAUCAAUAACCUGUUCCUCUGGUACUGAGGUCCCCAAUUUUAUUUACUCUGUUAGCAAAAAUAAAGAAAUACAAAGACGGAGACUUUAUCUCUUUCCUCCGAAAGAAUCCUUGAAAUGAAUACCAGAACAUCACUCUACCUUUGGUAGUAAAAUUAUUGCAAGAACACUUAACAAAUCUCGAUUUUUUUCAGUAACUAGAACCCUACCUGUUUCUUGAAUUGAAACAUGCGAACUCGUCGCAACACAUAUCCAAAGCACUCCAAAAUUUUGCUAGACAUUUAGAACCCAAUGUGUUGUCUGUACUCUGAAUAAACUUCAACAGGAGUCUGUUUUCCGAUAGGCGCCCUUAUGACAAAAUCAGGAAUAUCGAAGGCAUCCACAAGUUCUCUUGCUACGUUCCUCACUUGAAAGCUUAGAUAUUCCGUCAACUUGUGUAUUGCCUGCACAUUGAAAAUCCCAAAUAAGUUUGAUAUGAAGCCUAAGCAUAGUUCAUGAUUUCAGAUGGAUAAGUUUUUUGAUUCCAGUUGUGAGUGUCCUUGAAUAAGUAGUUACAGUUGGAAUAUUAUGGUCAAUGCAACCACAGAGCAGUGUAAUAAUCAUGAUACAGAACGCAGAAUCAUAUAUUAUGUUGUUCAUCAGAUUGUGUAGUAUGUCUGUCAGAUAAAUUCCUAAGCCUUAACAACGUUUUAUUCAUACCUUGGCUUUAUUGGGAGCAACAUAGUCGACAUUGCGGUAUGUCCCAAUGUCGUUCCAGAUUCUAUCCAUUGCGUAAAGAUCACAAACAAGUUUCAAAGCAGCUCUUGAACUCGGAUCAGGGCAGCUGUAAACAAAAACAGGUACAGCUGAGAUUGCCACUUAGGAAAACAAACCUUGUGUGAAGUUAAAAAUAAGACCAACAGCACAACAGUACUUCUUUACGGCUUUGAUAAACGUUUCGAGGAUGACAGAUUCAAUGUGGGACUCUGCAAGCGUCAGAAGGUGAUUUAAACAUCUAUUCCAUGCACCAAAACUACCAAGAGUCUUGGUAUGUUUCUGAAGUCGCAUAGCAGCACUAUGUAGCAAUCGAGAUGUCCGAUACUGCAACAAGAAUGUGAAACCAGGACAGGUUAAAUUCAGGGUAAUUAGCUGUGUCACAGAGUACAGAACCCAAAGAAAACUCACCCUAAAGGCAUCCAACUGGAAUGUAGAAUCGCGUAGAUGAUCUUCACCUUCCCAUCUAGAGGUUACCGGAUUUGGCUGAGACAUAUAAGUGCUCAUCGACUCUCUUAAAUAGUUCCAUGUAACCGCAAGCGUUCCACCUUGGAAUUUUUUCUGGUACUGCUUUAGAAGGUCUGCUGCAACCUAUAUCAAAUGAAAGCACAUCUCUUAUAUCCUCAAAAAAGCUUUUAGAUGUCAAGACUCAAGAAUGCAACCAACUAAUUUUCCCCAUGAUAUCUCAGUGCCUUUAAAACGGCAAAUUAUGUUCAAAAUAGUUCCAUAUUUUAUUAGAUGACGUGCAAAUGCAUUCUGCACCCUCAGAAAAGCAGAAGUGACUCGACUAAACAGUCAACAUACUAUCUUGAAAAGGUUUGUCACUCGUGAAGAUGACCGAUAACAGUACAGCUAGUUGGUGAAAACAUUCAUACUAAUAUACACCAUACUGACACACACUGUAAUUAAGUGAAAUCUUUCAAUCCACUGAAACCAAUUAAGGAAAAUCUGGAUGCACUAUGUUAAAAGCUUUAUAAAAUUGAGUACUCCCAUUUUUAAACGAUAUAUAGAAGUUUUUAGCUGUGAGAUGUCAGUUACCAGACGGCAUUGCUGCCCCAUAGGCGGUUAGAAUAGAGAGUGGUACCUGCUGAAGAAGCACUGUAUUGUCCCCUUCAAAUGUCUGAAAAAUGUCAUGAUCAUUUCUCAAGCUACCAAACCGAUUUACAGCAGCAUAGCCAUGGCCUCCACAAGCUUCCCUACAAGUACUCAAAGACUUUGCUGUAUAUGUAGUCACAUAUGCCUUGAGUCCAGCCGAGAGAGCAUGGACAUCCGCCACCAAUUCUUCAUCCUGAGUCUUCUUCAUCUCAGAAUAUUUUGCAACCAAAUUAGUUGUAGCAAAAUGAAAUGCAUAAGUUGAAGCCAGCAUUGGCAUAAGCUUAUGCUGAUGAGACUGGUAGUCAAGAAUGCUAAUUUCAGCUUGCUUAGGUGGUCCAAACUGCUGACGGAGUAGAGCAUAUCGGAUAGCAAUUGUGACAGCAAUUUUCAGGAUACCAACGGAGGAAUAGGCAAGACCUACCCGUCCACCUACAAGUUCACCCAAUGUGGCAGCAAAUCGUUUACUAAUAGUUGGAAGACUACUUGUAUAUUUCCCAUCCCGUGAAACAUCUCCAAAUCGAUUAAGAAGAUUAUUACGUGGUAUUCUCACUGAACGGAAUCUUAAUGCCCCAUUAUCCACCCCAUUCAGACCAACCUUGUGGCCACAAUCCUGUAUCUCAACUCCUGGAAGUGUUUCAUGGGUAGUCAUAUCCCUUAUUGGAACAAUGAAGGCAUGAACACCCAUAUCAGUAACACCCUUUGUAUCAUGAGUUGGUAACAUCAGCUUGGCAAAAACAGUAGCAAACUUUCCAUGUACGGCAGCAUUGCCAAUCCACCAUUUAAUGGCCCCAUCAUGGGGUGUGUCGAUAACAAAUUCAUCUGUAAGUAGAUCAAAUGUUGCAACAGUUUCCAGGCCUUGUACAUUUGAGCCUUUAAAAUGAAAAAAAUAAUAAUAAUAAGGAGAGAGAGAGAGAGGUUAAGUCAUGUUUAGCUUUUACAGAAGUUGUAGGCCUACACAAGUUAAAAUUUCAAUUUAAAAUCAGAUCCCGGAUUAUAACAUUUCUCCAGAGUGAAAAUUGUGUGCAUACCGUGAUGGAGCUCUGUCAUAGCAAAACAACCAGGAUACUCAACACUGUCAAUCCCAUUGAAGUACUUGUCCCUAUGUUUUUUGGUUCCCAAAUUUAGUACAGAACCUCCCCAAAGACUGCGCCGCAAUAAAAAGCAGAUUAACACAUCAAAUUCUUAUGUAUUUUUAUUUUUAAAUAAUUAUAUUGUGUUCAGUCAGGGAGAAUGGAAUGAAAUUACUAAAAAUAAACGAAGAUAACAAAGUUAGAGAGGGAAGUUUUGGAAAAGAUUGAUCAUGUUCAAAAUUUUUAUGAUGAAAUUUGAAAAUAAAUCAAGUACAAAAUGAAAUGGAGCAUUUCUUCCCAAAUUGAACGUAUGAUAUCUAGUAUAGAGGAUAAAAAACAGAACAGAGGAAAAAAUGAAAUUUAUAACCGGUUAUUCAUAAUAUGGUUCAAAUUUCAUUCCGUUCUUUUAAAAUUCAUUUACCCCAACCAAACACAAUAUUAAUGCGAGAUGAAUCAAGUGAAAUAAAGAACCUGUAUUGAACUCCAAGCUUGACACCGAACGAGACAUCAAGAAUGCCAGCAGCUUCAGCAAUAGCAAAAUACCUCCCAGGCUCUUCAACAACAUACUUGAAUGGUCUAAUCCCGCCUUCUCUCACCAUCGCAAGCAGCUGCCUCAUGCACAGCUCCCUAUGCUCAUCUUUCGAUAUUUCAACCGGCGUUUGAAGAUCAGGCCUCGACUCGAAAAAAUCGUACACCUUUUGCUGUUCAUUUCUGUACUUGCCUCUCAUGUACAUAGACAGAUGGGGGGUGCUCACGUUAAGCUUUCCUCUUGCUGCGCAUGUUAGUAGCUGCAGCUGCUGGUUUGAGCUCGGUGGUGGUGGGGCCUCUGUGGGGUUGAGGUGCAAGGUGAGCCGUUGGAUUCUCCGGUUGAUGAGGGGGUGAUUGUUGUCUUGUUCAUUUUCAGCCGUUGGAUGGGAUACGUGCGAUUGAAGUCUUGAGGGAUCCAUUGGAAUUAUGGAAAGCUGGAGGGUUUAGUUGGGGUUGUUUUAUAGAAACACGACUGGGUUUGGUGAAAGGACGCGUGGCUGUUUGUGAUUGGUUGGAAAAUUGGUUUGGUUUGGCGCGCCAUUCGAUGUGAUGAGGAUGAUAAUAGUGCUAGGACAUGCAUGGAUGUGUAUGUUUUUAAUGUAGUUGGAUUUGGAUCAGAUCGGGUGACUGGGACGUGUGGGAUUAGAUUCGUCAAGAAGGUAUAGUAGGUGUUUGGCGGGGCUUUUAAGCCCCGCUUCUGGACUUUUAAGUUAUAAGCACUUAUUCGUACUGUUUGUGUAAAAAGUCGAGAAGCACUUAUAAAAAGCUACGAUUCUUAGCUUUUGUUUCAUGACUUCUACUUUUUUCCCAAACACUUUAAUCACUUAUAAGUCUUAACUAACUUCUAACUUCUACUUCACUUUUUUAUUUUAAGCAAGAAGCACUUAUUUUAAGCUCGUCCAAACGGCCCCAUAGUUUCUAGAGGAAAUUGUACUUCAGACCAUAAAUCAGAAAACAGACUUUGACAAUUCGGUCGAUUUAGUUGUUAUCGUACGAUUACGAAGAUGGGCUAUUUUGUUCAAAUUUUAUAUAUUUAAAAAUCUGGUUGCAGACGUUAGGAAUAUGAACAUCUAGGAUAUAUUCAUAUUAUAAUUUUAAUAUAUAUGUGUAUUUUCUUUCGGUAAUAGUUGAGAUUUGAGAAUUAAAUAUAAAUUGUAACAAUUUAGGUAGUACAAUAUUUAAAAUUUUCAAUUAUAUUUUCAUUUCGUAUACUAUAAAUAUAUGAAGAAAUCAAAAUGUGGAGAUGCAUUGGAUUUUUCCCCAUGAUAUAAUACUUUAAUUUUUCCGUCCAGGUAUAUAUCGAAUUUAAGUUUAACGAGUUGCCGGUGAGAAUUUAAGCUCAACUUGCCGGUGAAAGUUUUGCUAUAUACUAUUUUAUCAGAAAAGAGAUACUAGAGCUCCUCUUGUGAACUGAGAUACAUAUUUGUCUGAAAGUUUUGCGCUCUGUUAUUUUGUUAAGAGGAGAGACAUUGCUACAAGAUUAUAGUGCAAGUAGGUAAUGAUAUUUUCAAAAACAAUCAACACUUGUUUGAAGGCCUGAUGAUUUAACUAUUCAUUUGUUAUUUCAAAUGAACGAUUAUGGUUUCGGUGAGCGGUAUUUUUAUUUUAUUUUCUCAGUUAAUAUAGUAUUUUAUUAAAAAAAUUUAUUUCAUAAAUUAUUUUGUUAGUCGAUGAUUUGCCCUCAUAUCGAGUUAGGUCAGAUGAAGACCCCAAAAUUUUGGAGUUUUGGAGAUCACAACACCCUCAUUAAAUAAAUAUAAUAAUCAAUGACUAAGAUUAUUUUUAAAAUAUAAAUCAAUUAAUUACUAUAAAAUUGAAAAAUUUAAAAAAAAAUAUUUUUUAUUCUGCUGAAUACCUGUGUAAGAAACCACCGCUGAAAUAGCAUUAAGCAGCUGGGCUUCUAGUGAUCAUAAUUUGGGCUUCACUUAAAUCUUUCAACAAUUGGGCUUCUCUGCCACAAUUCAAAUACAAAUUCCCGGGUCCCUUUAGGUUAAUACUUGGCGCCUCUCCCGUUCAACAAAUCAAUCUGAAAUUAAAAAUAAUUUGGGCCGGAUCCAAAAAAUAAUUCCCGCCCGAAAAAUCGAAUUCCCCCCUUUCUGCCAAUUGCUAUUGUAAAAUCAUAAAAAUCGCAGCCUUACAGCUAUACACACAGAGAUCAACAAACAUAUGUAUAUAUAGAAAUGAUGAUCUUUCUCUUCUUCUCUCAACAAAGUAACAAUCACUUGUACUAGAUUUCUCUCUUUCUUUCCCUUUAUUACAAGGUCAGUUUCUUACUUAAUUAACUUGUGUUUAUGUUUUUUAAUGUAUUGAUUUUUAUUGUUAUUAUUAUUGUUGUCAUUCUCUUUUUAGUUCGUCGAUGGGAUUUUUGCUAAUUCAAUUGUUAGUCUAUGUUGGUUGGUGUUAAUUGAGAUGUACAGUUUAUAACUAAAGGUUUGAUUUUGAUGCGUUUUUAGGGUUUAAAGAUUGAAGCUUUGUUUGAUUAGAGUUGAUUUAUGAUGAGUGGGGAAAAUUCUUGUGAUGAAGUUUCCAAGAAAAGGAGUGCUUUAGGAGAUGUUACGAAUCUUGUUGGGAAAAGAGGAUUAUCGGAGAUUUCGGGUGGUGAUUUUGAGGACAGGAAAAAGGGUAAGUCUGUGAAGCAAGUAUGUUUAGAAGUGGAGAAUGUAGGAAAAAAGGAAUCUUUGGCUGAAGGGGGUGUCAAUAAAGAUAGGGGCAAGGAGGUAUUGGAUUGCUUGGGCGUUUGUCCCGGGGCUGAUGAGCCGAAUAGCAAAUUCAUUUCUGAGGUGCCAAAGUUAUUGAAGAAUGACUUUCUACAUGGCGGGGUUGAAGAUAUUAAUCGAAAUGUGGCUGAUGUUUCAAGAGAGAGUUGUGUAUCUGGCAUUCCAAAGCCUACAAGCCCGGCUGUUCUGGAUAGUGUUGAUGUGGGAGGGGAUCCGGCGAAGGAUGAGGGAGUCGGUUCUCAAGGCGAACAAAGCACUACUGUCUUUGAACAAUUUGAUACUGAUGUUGAUGAAAAUGAGCUUGGUGAUGAGAAUUUAGACUCGGGCAAAAGUGAGUCAGUUGAUUAUCUCAGAUUUCCAGAAUCACAAGAAUCCAGAUCAUGUGGUCUGGAAAGAUGUGUUGGGUUUAAAGGUGAUGGAUUAUCUGAUUCUCCUGUGGGUAUUGACUUGAUCAAGGCUUGCACUUGUUCUUUUUGCACAAAAGGUACUCUCAACUAAUAUAUUUUUAUCUGAAACCUUGAUAUGUUUAAAUUAUGUGGUUAUAUGUCAUCAAGUACAGUACUAGAUGCUUCAGUUUGUUUUAUGAAUGAUCUGAUUAUGGUGUUUGUUCUAUGUUAUUAAAUCAGCUGCUUAUAUUUGGUCAGACCUUCACUACCAGGAUAUCAAGGGCCGUUUAGCAGGUUGGUGUUCAAUUUUUGUAUGGCCGUCAAAAAUCAGCAUGACACUUUAUAUUGGUUUUGUGUUUUCUUUUGCUGAACUCUAUUAUCGAAUAAUAUGUUAUAUUUUUAACUGAAUUCGCCAGCAUUAAAGAAGAGUCAGAAAGAAGCGAACAUCUUGGCUGAAAGGAGUACCAAGAUCAGGGCAGCUAACAUUCAUGGUCAAGAAACACCUGAUGUCUCAGAGCUCCAGUCAAGUCUUAGGGGUCAGUGGAGGUCGCUCUUCGCUCAUAUGGAGGAAAUUUUUGGUCAAGAAAGCAGCCAGCUUGUAAGUUCAACUCUAGAGCUUGCACUGAUCACCCUGCCUGCUUUUGCACAAAUUAUUAAAUGGUAGUAGCCUUUAUAAAGCACAAGAGGCUAUAUAUAGCUAUAUCUGUUUAAUUGUCCAUCUGAAUCGCAUAAUUGUGACUUUCAUUGGGCUUGUGAUUUAAAAAUGAUAAGCCAAAUAUCAAAAAGGAAAAGAAAGUGAUAAAACCUCAGCUAUCAUUCACAUUUUUGUUUAUUGUAAUUUUGAACUUUCCUGAAAUUUGAUAAACUAUGUAUCAAAGCACAAAAGAAGAGAUGAAAACCCAAGGUAAUACUUAAUAGUAUACUUGGUUUAUUUCAAUCUUCAAGUUUUCUGAAAUUUGCCAAUUUUUUUUAUUUUUACUGCUUUUAAGUAUAACCCCUGUUGCUCUAUUGGUUUUUAGUCUGUCGUUGGGUAGACAAUUUUUUUUAUAAAAAAUCAUCUAAGAAUAUUUAAAUUUUUUUAAACUAAAAAUUCCCAAGUGCCGGCUCUUACCUCUGUUUUCACCUGUCUUCAACACUGCUAUUUUUUGUUGUAAAACAUGUGGUUAUUCUGGUAAAUGUUCAAGGAGAGCAGAUUGUUAUACUAUGACAUACCUUUGAUUGUUAAGAUCAAAGGUUCUCUAGAAAUGACUAUGUAGUAACUAUCCAAACAAUCACUCUUAACAUUGUUAUACUUGCCUGAAUUAGAUUACAAUGAAAUUUCUCCUUGUGUUGGCUUAUGGUAAUUUGUUAGGAUCUGUUUAACCUUAUUAGAAUAUUGAUGGAUAUUACAGCAAGCCAGCGACCCUAUUUUCUUCUCCACUGUUAGAAGUGGCCUUUUUUAUGUUGAUAACCUCUGUUAUUUCUUAUCUAAAUUAUUUUGAAUUGGCUGAUAUACUUUUAUCUUCCUUUUUACUCGUGAAGUGCUUCUUAGGUAUACGCUCUGCCUGUGAAACUUUACUAGAUGUAUCAAAUAACUAAAGGAGAUUUGAAGGCUGAAAUUGAGUCCAGAGGUUCUGAAAAACCAUUCAAGCUUCUGUUUUAUAUUUUGUAGCAAUUAUGCUAGUGAAAAUUGUGAAACAUCUAAUGCAUGCAAGAUCUUAGGCAACAUUUUCUUCCGCUAGAUGACAAUAGAUAUAUGAACUUAGUUUCUACUCUCAAACUUUUAUGAAAAUAACAAAUAUGAAUUAUAUAUGAUUAGAAACAAACUAAAAUUUCCCGUCUGACUAUCAGAAGUUUCACAUAAACAUUCUGGCCUCUGAAUGUUUUAUCAGCUACCCUGUAUUAGACAAGUCAAAUAAUAAAAUUUAGUCUCUAAAUGCUUGCAAGAUCUUAGGGAACAUUAUUAAUCCUAUCUGGUCAUCAACUUGCAAAGGAGGAAAUAACCGCAUAUAGGAACACAAUUUACAUACCAACACUAAUUGUACCCUAGAUCUGUGGAAAUACUGAGAAGAGGUAUGUAACUUGACUUUCUUUGCAUAAUUGGUAAGAGUUUAAAAUUGUCAGUAGCGCUGAUGAUUCUAAAUGUAUCUUGUAUGGAUUCAUACCAUAAGCAGUGUCCACGCGGCAUAUGGUAAAUAUAGUUGGUGUAAUGUGAUAAAUUAGUGCUGCAGAUAUCAGACUGAAAGCAUUUCAAAAAUUUGCUGCUGUUAGGCUUUUGUACAACUUCUUUUCGUUAUCUUUGUUUGUAAUGCAUCUAUAUAAGCAGUGUCCACGCGGCAUAUGGUAAAUAUAGUUGGUGUAAUGUGAUAAAUUAGUGCUGCAGAUAUCAGACUGAAAGCAUUUCACAAAUUUGCUGCUGUUAGGCUUUUGUACAACUUCUUUUCGUUAUCUUUGUUUGUAAUGCAUCUAUAAGUUAUUGAUUAUAAUCUCUUAUCAGAUAUAACUAUGCUGGAUUGCAUGAUCUACUUGUCGCAAAUAUUUUUGAUUUUGCUCCCAUGUAUAGUGAAUAUUGUAUUAUUGAUGAAUGAUUGAGUGAGAUUUGUAAGUAUCGUUGAUGUUCCUAUGGCUCCUAAAUACUCCGGUCUCUUUAUUAUUUUCAACAUGGAAUCUGAUAAGUAGCUCAAUCAUGAAUUGCAGGAAUCCAACUUAUACACACUAAAGGAUCUGAGAGAUAAUUGCAAGACUGAAUUGGAGUCGAUUAAUGGGAUGCCUUUUAGUAAAGAGUAGUAUGCUUCCAGAGAUAUGAUCCAUGUUGUGUUUGUAAUGUUGGUGCGCUUUUGCCCCAUUUCUUUCUUGUUCUCCUAUGUUCUGUUUUACUGGUUUCAUCUGAAUCUACCUAAUCUGUAGUUGUAUAAUAAUAAAAUUGUAUGCUAUAUUAGCUCUUUAAACGAUUGUUUGCACCAAUAUUUGCCCUUAGUACAAUUUUCAGACAAUCUUUUUCCUAUUUAAGUUGUGUUUGUAGGUGGUUUUUAUCUAUAAUUGAAUAUGACUUGGUGUGAUUAAUAGUGACUGGUUUACUUCAUGAUAAUCUGGAACAUAGUCAUAGUUUUAUUUGCAAUAGCGUGUAAAAUGUACUUGUCAUCAGUGGAUCAGUUGGGGGACUGGGGCAGUUGAAACUUGGAUGUGAAGCUGGAAUAUUAUGCUUAGACUCUUAUUUUAUAAUGACACGAUAAUGGCUUGAUUUGGGGUCAUGUUUGAUGCAAUGAUUAAGUGUUUACUUUCAAUCUGUUAAGACUUUGAAUCUAAGACUGCAUUGGUUCGGAGUUUUUCUGACCCCAGUGAUUUAAUCAAAAAAAGAACUCUGCAAAUUUUGUUAAAUUACCAAGCCACAUUAUGUGUCUCCAGCACCAAACUUGCACAAUAGAGCUCAGCAAGUCACAUUCAUUAGCAGUUAGAACCAUUUUUAUCCCAUCUUUGUUUAUUGCAUUAUUGGAAUAGUUUGUAUUACAAUCAGUAGAUAAUGAUGCUUCCUUCUCUAGAGAUAAACUAGUUAAUUAGUUGAUGCUUCUCUGGAGAUAACUUAGUUAACUAGUUGAUGCUUCAUCCGAGUUCUUUGUUUAUUCUUGAGAAUGGAGAUAAUGGUGUUUAUCACAUAAUCAUGCAAAUAAUGGGUUUCUAGUCAACUCUUGCCGAUUGAAGUGGCAUGUCAACUACACAUGAAUUAUAAUCAUCCCAUCUAGUGUUAACCAACAGUAUUGGUAGAAUAUGAUUAUAAUACUUCAAUCACGUAAUACACUAAUAAAAAAACAUAGUCAACCACAGCAAGCAGCACUAGCAAAUAGAGUUUGUGAACUGUGAUGUAGGUCUUGUUCAUGAUCUUUUGUGAGUCAGGGAGGGGCUUAAAAACGUUGCAAGCACCUCUUAACCCAUGUCAUUAAUUUAGGAUGCUCAUCUUGAGGCUGAAGUUGCCAAGUUCUUCGUAUGUAUAAACCAAAAGUAUUACCAAUUUACCGCCAUAAAGACAUUUGUCACUAAGCUCACCUCCUAAUACCUUGAGUUCAGGGCCGUCUGGGAGAAUUUUGGGGCCCUGUGCUAAAAUAUGAAUUAGGCCCCAAAUAAUAAAAAAAUAUGUAUAUUGUAAAAGUAAAUAAAUAAUAAAAAUAUUAUUUUAUUUUUUUAUAAAAUUAAAACAUGUCACUUAGAAUAAGAUAAAUAAUGUUAUUAAAUAAUCAGUAAUUCUAGUAUUUUAAACAAAAUUUAUAUAUGAAUUUAUUUGAGAUAUAUCUAUAUUUCAUUGAAAAGAAUGAAAUUUAUAGUACAUAUGAAAAAAUAUCAUAUGUAAAAAAUAUUAUGAAAACAUUUAAUAAAAGAGUAAUUAUUAUAAAAAAAAGUAAAGAUACAACACAAAAGUAUUAAAAAUGCAAAUAGAUAUAAUAAAUUAAUCUAUUAGAUUAUGUAAUUAUUUAUCUAUAAAUAAAUAGAAUGAAAAUAAAUAUUAAAUUUUCAAUUUUCAAUUUCAUUCUUUAAAUUUUUUUUAUUAAAUAAAACAUUGAUUUCUAAAUUUUGAGGCCCCUAUAGUUUUGGGGCCCUGUGCCGUCGCCCACCUUGCACGUCUCAAAAACCGGCCCUGCUUGAGUUCACCGUCAGUUCUUUUUUCCCGCCUCCUUUUCUUCUCCAACAUGAUAUGGAUCAGAAGGGAGCAAAGGAGCUCUGUCGUUACAGACUUCAUCAAUGUAUAUUGUACAAUGAGGGAAGACUUGCAGACUGGCAUCCCAUUUUGGAUGAAGUACCGGAAUUUUGUGGCAAACCGGGUUCAUCUUAGCUCUUGUAAUCCUUCCUCAAGUCCUGUUCUUUGUACUCGUACACUAUAUGCCCUUUUGAGCUGAUGCAACUCUCAUUCUAGCCGAACAUACUUCCCAAAAGUCCACCAGAAAUCACCGCUUAAAAUGUACAUUAAACUUGUAUAUAUCCCUGCAUGGCUGCAUGGGUUAGUUGAAGACAUUGCUAGUAAUAUCAAGAAACCAAACUUAUGAAGGCAAAUUGAUUUAAAUUGGUUUGUAUGUAACGUAGCAACUUCUGACUCCUAUAACAAUUACAGGAUUUUAGUUUGUUUAAUGCUAUGUUUUAUGUCUAUCUAAUUAUGUACUGGCGAAAGAAUCCUUGACUAAAUUUCUGCAAUACAUAUUUAAUAAAAAUUGCCGAUUACUCCCUCCGCCCCACCCGAUUCUUUAUAUCGGAUUUGGACACGGAAGUUAAAAAAAUAGGUAUAAAGUAGUGGAAAGAGAAAGAAUAAUGGGUGAAGUGAUAGGAUCCAUAGAUAUUUAAUAUAUAAAAGAUAUAGUGGAGUAAAAUUAUGGUGAAAAUGGAGGAAAAGUGGGAAAGUGUUGGGACCCAUUAACUAUUUAAGAAAAAUGUAAGAUAAAGAAACGAGUGGGACGUCUAAAAGAAAUAGUAAAGAUUCGGUGGAACGAAGGGAUUACUUGUCCAUUGAUAGAACAACUGCAAAGUUGAUCAACUAACAUCUAUCUACGGUUAAAAAAUGAGAUACUACAUCUUUUGAUACAGUACCACUAGGGGCGUAGCUACGUUCACCACCGGGGUCACUUGCACUCCUCACUUUUUAAUAUCCAAAUUUAAUUUUUAAAUUUUUGACCCUCAAAAAAUAAUUUUUUUGAUCCUUAAUUAGUGUUGUAAAAAAUGGUAAUCAAACUUUUUUUUUUUUUUUUUGAAAAAGGAAAAUAAUUCAAUAAUGAAAAGCCAUACGGCAUCUACAGAUAUAAUCGAAAUUGAACAAACGCAUAAUCAUAUCGCCGUUGAAUCCUUCCUUCUUCGGUAGGCAACCAAGCGAUUUUUUGAAGAGAUAUAUACAUGCUGUAAUACUCUCAAUGUUGUUUUGAGCAAUCGACCAUAAAUGCAUCACCAUACAAACCUUUAUCAUUGAAUCAGCAUCAUGAAAAUCCCGCAGAUCUGUAAUCCCGGACAUGAUGAACACACAAAACCCAAACAAAAAUCAAACUCUCACAGAAGGAGAGACCAAACAAAACCCAAAUAAAUUGGGAACUUAUUGAAGAAAACAAGAGAUUAACUAAUAGUAAGAAAAGAAGACAAUAUUGGGGCUUUCCACCGGUGAAAUCCGAUGGAAGCCCCUCGGAUAAAAGAGACGGCGGCUACUUCAAGGUGAGAGAAAUUUUAAUGGUCGGUGAAGUCAUAGAUUAGGGAUUAAUCGGUGAUUAAUUGAAUUGACCGGGGAUUAAUCGGAUUAAUCAGUAAUUAAUCGGAGAUUUAAUCAGUUCGGCGAGCUACGGAACAGGGAUUAAUCGGUGACUAAUCGUGAUUAAUCACCAACUUUUAGAACAGAGCCCCUAAACGUAAAACAUUGAUACCGGAAGUACAUAAAUUUUUUUAAAAAAUAAUGAAAUCAUUGUUUUAUAUUUAUCAAAAUUUGUUGAAAUAGAGUAUUAAUAUUGUAAGCACGAUUCUAAAAUUGUGAUAUUUGUAUUUUUAUAUUUAAGUUCAGUUUAUCAUAUUUUUUUAGGAAUUUUCUGUGGUGUACCCAAGUUCACACAAUAGUUAAUAACUUUCAUGAGAUUAGUAAAUCUGAUUGGCGGUUAAAUAAUAAAUGUUAAUCGGCCCCUUACAUUCACACUAAUUCCACCAAUAAAAGAAGUCAUUUUUAUGAGAGUUAGUGUUUAUUGUGUGUCCUUUGGCACACAUUUAGAAUGGCCGAUUUUUUUAUGAGAUUGUUUUUCGAACAACCCCCCCCCCCCCCCUACUAUGGCCGUGUUUGGGAGUUCGAGGUUUGGGGCAAAAUUAGAGGUUUGAGCCUUUGAGGUACUUUAGAGGUUUGACCACUAAAAUAAGCUAAUAUUAGUGGUUGGUAGUUAGCGGAUUAAAAUUGGAUCCAAAAAGCUAAUUUUGAAAAAGCUACUAUGAGGAGUUUUUGGGAUUAGCGGUUUUGGUUUGUGUCAGAAAAAUCUAAUCAAUCAGCUAUUUACCAAACAGUUUUACGAAAAAUAACUAAUUCAAUCCACUAGUCAAAACAUCUAAUUCAAUCAGCUAGUCAAAACAGCUAAUUCGGUCCGCUAACAGCUAACCGCUAACCCCCAAACAAGAUCUAUGUAUUCUGGCUACGCCCCUGAGUACCACAUCAUCCUUUGAUGAGCAAUCUCAUUAAUGGAUAUUAUCAUUGAGUAUUUUAUCUGUUGAUAAGCUAUAUUAUAAAAUAAAAUACAACCUUGAAUUAUACAAAGUAUUUUAAUACAUCAUCAAGUCACAUGUCCCUAAUAGAGCUGUAAUUCGAGUCGGGCGGCUCGCGAGCUCGCCCGGCUCGAAGUCGUUUAAGUGGGCUCGACUCGACUCGUGAAAUUAAACGAGCCGAGUUCGGGUAGAGGUUUGGGCUCGAUUAAAUGUAAAAUUAUACGAGCUGGCUCGACUCGACUCGUGAAAUUAACCGAGUCGAGUUCGGGCAAAGAUUUAUGCUCGAUUAGUUACUCGAGCCGAGCCGGCUCGAUUAGUUACUCGAGCCGAGCCGGCUCGACUCGAUUAAACUUGGCUCGAAUUAGGCUCGGCUCGAAACUCGCCCGGCUCGACUCGAAUUACAGCCCUGGUCCCUAACAAUCUCCCCCUAUUUAUUUCUGAUAAAAUUUCAUAUAUAAAUUUGAGUGUUUGAUGAUAACAAAACACUUCAAACAGAAAAUCUCAUCAAAUAAGAGGUCGUUUGGUUAAACUUAAAAGAAGUUACUUAUUGUUUAAAGUAGAAAAGUGGAUUAUAAGUGAUAAGUAGACAUAACUUAUAAGUUUUUAAAGUGUUUGGAUAAUGUAAAUAAUAAAUGGUGAAGAUUUUGGUAAUUUAAAUUUAUAAGUAUAUUCAUUUUAACCAUUUAUUUAAUAAAUGAUAUUGAUAAAUGUAUAUAAUUUAUCACAUAUCUGAAAUGUAAAAAAAAUAUAUUAAAUAUGUUAAUCAAAUUGAUGAGAAGUCGGAGCUUUUUUUUCCUUUCUCUUGACUUUGUUAAAAAGUCAUACAGAAGUGAGAGAACUUUUUUACCAAACAGUCGUUUAAGAAGCUGAAACCGACUUCUAUAAAAAAAAAAAAAACGAUUUCAGUGGAUACCGAAACACCCACUAAGGGGUCGUUUGGUUGAGCUUUCUUGGUAUCAGGUAUGAGUUUUGUUCAUUCUAAACCCAUACCUUGUGUUUGGUUAAAAAAAUUCUUUCAUCAAACUCAUUACUCAAACCCACAAGGUAUGAGAUUUUCAUACCCAAGGGGGGGUGGGUAUGAAACAUGGCUUUCAGGAAUCAAAUUUUUUUCUUUUAUUUUCAAUACUAUUUUAUAUCAUUUCAUGUAAAUUAUUAAUACAAAAUGAAAUUAAUGACUCAAAGAUAUAUAAAAAUAUUAAUUUAAUGAUAUUUUUAAUUAAUUACAAUUAAUAACUCAUAAAUAUUAUAAUUCAAUCAUAUUCAUUCCAUCACUCAACCAAACACCUGAUAUCAGAAAUGAUACCUCAAACCUAUACCAGCUUAAUUCGAUUUCUCAUUUCAACCUCAUACCCUCUCUCCAACCAAACGACCUCUAAUUGAGUUUGCUUAUUUACCCAAAUAGUAUGAAAAUUUUUAGAAGUACUUCCAAAGUAAGAAGCCGGACUUCUUCCCUCCCCAAAGACCCACUAAGUUUUUUUUUUAAAAAAAAAAACUUAAAAAAUACUCCUAAUUCCUAAAUGAAGAAGAAAGGAGAUGGGCAAUAUAUACUAUGACUGGCGUGUAAGAAAGGAUUAGUGAUCCACGUCAGGAAAUACGUGUUAAUGCGUCACAGAAGGUCCACCACCACAUGUGCAGGCCAUGCCAGCUGCGAGUGUGCGCUGGUGGGGACAAAUUUCGCUUCACUCUAACGCAACUUCCGUUUUUUCCCCCACCUUUUCGCGAAAGUACUCUUUUGAUUUUAUGAAAGGCCAUAAAAAUUAAAUUAAUUUAACUUAUUUUUAUUAAUUCUAUACAAAUUUGUUUCAUAUAUAGUUUUAGUAGUAAUUCGGUAAACGAACAUUUGCAUACUUUAAUCAAUUUAGGGGAUAGCAAUAAAUUUUUUAUUGUGACUGAGAGUUGCUUGUUCUAUCUCCUUUUAAUUCUAAUCGGUCCAUCUACUUAUCCACCUCUUCUACAUGCAUUUCCUUCUAAUCCAUCUCGUCUCCAUCCUUUUUUUUCUCAUCUCAAUUCUCUCUCUCAUAGUUAUUUCAAUUCAUAACCAACGGUUUUACAUCUACAAAACAAUGUUUUCCUAAUUUAGAAUUUUUUAUCAAUAAAAAUCUUUCUUUAUUUGUUUUUUUAUCAAUAAAAUCGAGUUUUGUUCACAAAACUCGAGAAGCCCAUUUGGAUAUUUUCUUUCCCCAUUUCAUUGUGUUUAAGUUAUUAUUUGUGUGCUUGAGUGUCUCGCUUUAUGCGUGUCUCGUUUUGUGCAAUGUGUUUGUUGUGUUGAAAAUGUAUUUUACGAUAUAUUGGGAGAUCUGAAAAUCUGACAUAAAAAACGCUUUAUGCAGGUCUAUAACUGAUGUCUGGCGGGUAGAUUGUUGGGAUGCGUUUUAGACGGUAGUUAAUAUUACAUGUGCUCACUUCUCAUAAAAAAAUUGUAUUCAUGACAUGAGACCUUUAAACUCAGUUUUUACAACUGACCCCUCUGAACUUUGUAUAGUUUAUGGAACUACUGUAAUAGUCAAUUGUGAAUGUACUGUUUUUAGUGGAGAUGCAUGCUGGAUUACUCGGAAAAUUAUUAUCUUCAAUUUUAACUUUCAGAUAAGUCCGUUCUAUUUUUUUAAUUUUCUGGAAUUUUCGAAUGAAAAAAUCAAAAAUAAAAUCACUUUUUUUUAUUUUGAAUAUAUUGAAACCAAAUUUGAGAACUACCUUUUUCAAAAUCUGAAUUUUUUUGAAUGAAAAAUACCAAAAAUAAAAAUUAUUUUUUUUUGUUUCGAAUAUAUUGAAAGCAAGUGAACUAUCUUUCUUAAAAAUAAAAUCUAUCAGUAUGUUAUUGAAAAGUUGCUUUAAAUCGUUAAUUACAUGUAGAAAUUUAUUUUCAUUUUUCACUCAUGAAUUAUAAUCCAAUUUUGUAAUUUUAUAUAUUAAUAUUGAUAUUGCAUCGAGAUGUUUAUAAUAUUAAAUUUAUUUUAUAAAUAUUAAUUUUGAAUCUUUCAUAUAAACUUUAUAGACCACCGUAAAUUUAUUUAAAUUUAUAAAUAUUAAUUUUUAAUUAUUAAUAUAAUUUUUAUAGAUAAUUUCAAAGCGCAGUUUGUCACGCUAUCUCCCUCCGUGCCUCCGUUUAGCAGAUUCAUUGAACUUAGUUUCCCAUGUUCUAGUGUGAAUACGAGUUUGACGGACAGAGCUUUUAUUGUACUGAGCCGACAUAAACCAUAGUUAGGUUUAAGUUAACCCAACCCAAUACUGAGGUUAGGAGUAGAAUAGGUCCUGUUAUCAUCCUUUUACGCAAAUUUAGAAGCCAGUUAUCCCAUUUGUUUGUUUCUAUGGCGCCGCAAUUUACGAUAAAAUUGUUCCACCCCAACCCACUUGCCCACAUGAUUAUGUUCCCACUACCUACGGCUCAGAUCUGAAGAUGCCAUGUUUAAUUAAUGUCUUUUUUAACUCACUCGGCACGGGUUUCAAUGCUUAUGGGCCCACUUAUCGUGUCUCCAUUCUAAAACUACGUCCUCUACAUUUAUUAUCUCACCUGCCGCCUUUAUAACUCCCACUCCCUGUUUUCUUAUCGCUGUUAUUUGGAGCAAAAUAUACGGCGUUUAACGGUCCUUAUUAAUUUUAAAAGAUUAUAUAUUUCUCUAAAUUUGAUUUUAUACGAUGCUUUGUAUUUUCAUAUUAAUUUAAGAUUUCUAUGUAUUUUCAGCGGCAGGUAUGACCAGCGCAUGAAAAAAAUUAGAAGAAAAGCUUACUAGUGGAAGUGAAUUAAAGAUUCAUGGUUGUUUACUAAGAGCAAAUUUCUACGGAGACCACUUUUAUUGGAGACUGUGUAGAUCAUUUAUAUUCUGCAAGUGAAAUAUUGCAAAACGUAUAAUUUUGCACAUCAUGUUGUACAAAAUUAUUAUUUCAUUUUAAAAUCUUGAAUAUCAUAUAAGUUUCGCAUGUAGAACAUUACAAAAUGUUAUAUUCUACGAAAUAUAUUUAGUUUGCAGGACAUUGUUCAACUUGCAGAACAUACAUUAUAUACUUAUGAAACAUAGAUGAUCUUCAACAAUUUUAAUGAAUACAUGAUAUUUGUACAACAUACUUCACAAAAUAAUGUAUUUUAUAGUGUUUUGAUUGCAGAACAUAAGUGGUCUCUAUGGUCUCCGAUAAAAAUAGUUCCCAUGGAACUUUACUCUGUUUACUAAUAUUCUUACUCAAAUAGCAGUUUUAGUUGUGUUCAGUUUUAGAUAUUUAUACCUUUAGAAAUUAAUAGUUCAUAUUAUAGAUAAAUAAUAAUUCAAAAUAAUAAUGUUUUAUAUUGAAAUAGAAAUUGAUAAAUAUUGUCGAAAUUAGAUCUGAUUUUGACAGUCAUUCGUUCAUUAGAGCAACUCCAACAGUGAUCCGAAAAUUAUGAGAUAUUGUUACCUCCAAAAGUGAACUCAAAGGUGAUGCAAAAUUAGAUUAGUGAAUGAUAUUGAAACAAUUCCGGAUCCCUAUUAUUCACACAUCAAAUUUUUUUGGGUAUUAUAACAUUUUUAAUUUUUAUUAUAUGUUUUUGUUUUUUUUUUAACGUAGGAACCCGCAGCCGCUACCCUUUUGGUGCGCACUGGGUAAACCCACGAGCUCACGUAAUAUUAUUAUAUGUGUUUUUGUUAAUAUUAUUAGAGAAAAUUAAUUAGGCCUAGAAUAUAAUUAAAACGACAAUUAAUCAUAAUUUUUUUAAAAUACAUAAAAAUUUUAGAGUACAUGAAUAUUAAAAAUAUGAAACAAAAUAACACAACAUGUAUUAUUUAACGAUAUUACAGUUUUAAAUAAAAAUUGAAUUAUUGAAGAUAAAUAUGUCCAUUUUGAUUUGGGAAGAAUAUAAUGAAUUUGAAACUUAGUAUUUUUAUGCAAUAUUUUAAUACGUUUAAUCCUUUUUUAUGUAUCAUUUUAUUUUUUUCAAAUUAUUUUGUAACAUCUUAUCUUUGUAUAGUUGCUGGUGUUAUUAUUAUAACUAAUAAUGAAAUUAGUUUAUUUAAAAAAUUAUAAGAAUAUAAUAGUAUUGAAUGAAUUUAAAUUUAUUUUGUACAUAUGAUUGGCAUAUAAUUUGGAUCCCGCCUUAAAUUGAGAUAAUUUUGGAUAUGUGAUCGUAGUUUGCCUUAGAGUAAGUUGAGCAAUGUCGCACCGGGUAAACUUAUGAGUUCACGCAAUAGGCUGCAAACUACGUGAAACAAGAUAAACCAUACUUAAGCGACAUGCUAUGGUCCAGGAGGCAUAAUCACAAAUUCUCCUCUAUUUGAUAGUCGAACUUGUGAUCAAGAGAAUAAGAGGAUACAAGUCUCCUCUUUAACCAGCUAAAUCCUCUAUUUGAGAGUCGAACAUGUGAUCAAAAGGAUAUGAGCAUACAAGCCACCUCUUUAACCAGUUAAACUAACCCUUGCGAAUGUAAUGUCCUAAUUUGAUGUCUUAUAACAAAAUUUAAGAUAUUUGAAGCAAACGAGUGCUCCGCAUCCAACAAUGUCCUCAUUCCUCGUGCUACCAUGAUAUUCCACAAAUGCAUUAUCUCUGAGACACCACUAUACUUAUCAUAAACCAACUCUAUCAACAAAAAAUUACCUUCUUACUAUUCCAAUACAUCUCCCCUUUUAAUUUCCCUCACUUACUAGGGUAUUGUUAGACUUGCUCUAAUGUCUCAUCCAUAUUUGAGUAUUAUUUUAUUUUAUUACCCAAAUAAAGUAUUGGUCAUUUAUAUUUGAAGUGGAUUGCCGAACAAUAAGGAAAUAUUUCCCCACUUUCUGCCCUCAGUUAUUUUCAAUCCUCACUCACUCAAAAUUUUAUUAUUAAGAAUUAUUAAUUUAUAAAUAAAUAAUUGAAAACGAUGGAAUUUGAACCGAGGUAUCAAUAAUUUAUCAUUCCCGAAUCCCGGCGACCACAAAUUCACCAAAGCGGCAAAACGUAACUCGUGUUCAACAUUUGAAUCAUUGAAUGAGUGAGGGGAAUUGUGUGCCAAAUUGCUAUAGUAUGUGAAACCGAACCUUUCGUCUUAGCUUAAACUUUGUGGAGAGAAAUAAUGGAGUGAUACUGUGAUUGUAAUAUUGCAAGAAGUCAAGGAAGUUAUGGUCCACACGGAGCAACAACUUGACUCAUAUUCGUUCAUUCAUUUGGAAAGAUAUUUUAUUUCUCAACGAUAGCGUGGUCCUUGUUCCUCACCCACAGGCCUCAGCCUUUGCAUGUGUGCCUCUUAAUGAUUUGUCCCGGUAGAUAAUCCACCUAGUGUCCACACGGAGAAAAGUAAAGAGUUUAGGGUAAGUUUUGAUUAAGGAUUGCAAGUGAGAACCGGAAAUAAAAAUGAGAUUUAUAUAAAAUUCUAGAAAUGAAAAAGGUAUAGACCCAGUUUGGGAAUUAGCUGUUAGCCGAUUGAAUUAAAUGUUUUGACUAGCCGAUUGAAAUAGAUGUUUUAACUAGCGGUUUCGUGUAAAAUUGCUUGGUAAAUAGCUGUUUAUUAGUUUUUUUAUGACACAUAUCAAAAUCGCUAACCCAAAAAACUCCUCAAAGUAGCUUUUUGAAAAUUAGUCUUUUAAGGCCAAGCUUCUAUUUCAAUCCGCUAAUUAUCAAACACUAUCAUUAGUGGAUUGGAAUGGUCAAACCUCUAACUCACCCCAAACAUCUAAUUUUUUCCCAAAACCGCUAACUUUGAAACAUGACCAUAAUUUAUAAUAGCACUGAUUUUCAUAUCAUAUAGUUAGAUAAGUAAUCAAAAUGCGAUGCAGUGAAAUUUCCGUUAACCAAAAUCACUAAUUAUGAACGAAAUACUCAUAAUAAUUACUUUUUAUUUAUUUAAAAUAUAACUAGAUCAAGCAUAAGUGUGUAGAGUAAUGUAUAAGAACUUUUGUAAAAAUGUCAAACCUAAUCGUGGCCAGCAAUAAUCAUAAUUCAACCACAAAAAUUAAUAGCGUUGCUGAUUGUAUUACUCCCUCCGUCUCAAUUUAUAGGUCCAUUUUGAAAAGAAAAUUGUCCCAAAAUACUUGUCCCUCUCUUCUUUCAAUACAAAUUUAUCUACAUAUUAAUUGUGAUUUUUUUGAAACUCAACAUUAUUCUCAUUUCUCAAUGCACUAAAUCCUUAUAUUUAUUGUGGUUUUUUUUGAAACUCAACUAUAUUCUCACUUAUAAAUGCACUAAUUAAUGAUACAUGAGAUAAGAUUCUAUAUAAACAACUUUUUUCUUAAUAUGUGUGUUUAUUCCAAAAUGGACCUAUAAAUUGAGACGGAUUGUUAGACUUGCUCUAAUGUCUCAUCCAUAUUUGAGUAUUAUUUUAUUUUAUUACCCAAAUAAAGUAUUGGUCAUUUAUAUUUGAAGUGGAUUGCCGAACAAUAAGGAAAUAUUUCCCCACUUUCUGCCCUCAGUUAUUUUCAAUCCUCACUCACUCAAAAUUUUAUUAUUAAGAAUUAUUAAUUUAUAAAUAAAUAAUUGAAAACGAUGGAAUUUGAACCGAGGUAUCAAUAAUUUAUCAUUCCCGAAUCCCGGCGACCACAAAUUCACCAAAGCGGCAAAACGUAACUCGUGUUCAACAUUUGAAUCAUUGAAUGAGUGAGGGGAAUUGUGUGCCAAAUUGCUAUAGUAUGUGAAACCGAACCUUUCGUCUUAGCUUAAACUUUGUGGAGAGAAAUAAUGGAGUGAUACUGUGAUUGUAAUAUUGCAAGAAGUCAAGGAAGUUAUGGUCCACACGGAGCAACAACUUGACUCAUAUUCGUUCAUUCAUUUGGAAAGAUAUUUUAUUUCUCAACGAUAGCGUGGUCCUUGUUCCUCACCCACAGGCCUCAGCCUUUGCAUGUGUGCCUCUUAAUGAUUUGUCCCGGUAGAUAAUCCACCUAGUGUCCACACGGAGAAAAGUAAAGAGUUUAGGGUAAGUUUUGAUUAAGGAUUGCAAGUGAGAACCGGAAAUAAAAAUGAGAUUUAUAUAAAAUUCUAGAAAUGAAAAAGGUAUAGACCCAGUUUGGGAAUUAGCUGUUAGCCGAUUGAAUUAAAUGUUUUGACUAGCCGAUUGAAAUAGAUGUUUUAACUAGCGGUUUCGUGUAAAAUUGCUUGGUAAAUAGCUGUUUAUUAGUUUUUUUAUGACACAUAUCAAAAUCGCUAACCCAAAAAACUCCUCAAAGUAGCUUUUUGAAAAUUAGUCUUUUAAGGCCAAGCUUCUAUUUCAAUCCGCUAAUUAUCAAACACUAUCAUUAGUGGAUUGGAAUGGUCAAACCUCUAACUCACCCCAAACAUCUAAUUUUUUCCCAAAACCGCUAACUUUGAAACAUGACCAUAAUUUAUAAUAGCACUGAUUUUCAUAUCAUAUAGUUAGAUAAGUAAUCAAAAUGCGAUGCAGUGAAAUUUCCGUUAACCAAAAUCACUAAUUAUGAACGAAAUACUCAUAAUAAUUACUUUUUAUUUAUUUAAAAUAUAACUAGAUCAAGCAUAAGUGUGUAGAGUAAUGUAUAAGAACUUUUGUAAAAAUGUCAAACCUAAUCGUGGCCAGCAAUAAUCAUAAUUCAACCACAAAAAUUAAUAGCGUUGCUGAUUGUAUUACUCCCUCCGUCUCAAUUUAUAGGUCCAUUUUGAAAAGAAAAUUGUCCCAAAAUACUUGUCCCUCUCUUCUUUCAAUACAAAUUUAUCUACAUAUUAAUUGUGAUUUUUUUGAAACUCAACAUUAUUCUCAUUUCUCAAUGCACUAAAUCCUUAUAUUUAUUGUGGUUUUUUUUGAAACUCAACUAUAUUCUCACUUAUAAAUGCACUAAUUAAUGAUACAUGAGAUAAGAUUCUAUAUAAACAACUUUUUUCUUAAUAUGUGUGUUUAUUCCAAAAUGGACCUAUAAAUUGAGACGAAGGGAGUAUUUCCUAAUUACCCCUGACACGUGUCCAUCCUACCGGUCACUAACUGACACCUGCCAUGAAAAUCUAACUAUCCCAGUACGUGUCACAUUACAAUUGGCCAGCAGUCAAACGUGACGGAGAGUAACUGUGAAGCAAAGAAAAGAAGUGGGCAGAGAGAGAAAUAAUUUUAAAAAUAUGUGAAAAAUGGCCCAUUUGGCCUUUAAAUAGAGAAGCGUAAGUUCACAUAUUGGCAGAGUGAAAAAAAUCAAAAGCGAGGUCACCUAAAAUUUGAGUGUUUAGUUUACAUAAUCCCCCCCUUCUCUCUAUAUUCCCCUCUUCUUGGAUCCCUUUCUGUAAUAGUCUGUCUUUCAACUUAUAUAAUUUUUCUGGGUUUGUUUUCUUGAUUUUUGACUGAUUUUUCACCAAAAAAUUUGAAGAACCAAGCUCAUAAUUGUGUGUUUUUUGAAAGCCAGGUGUUUCAGAAUAGUGAUCACUAGUUUUUACUUAAUUUCAGCACAAAUCUCUCCCAGGGUGUGUUUUUCAAUAUCCCUCAGAUUUGUAUCUUCUCUUACAAUCCCUGUUUCUUAAUUUUUACAAGAAACCAGGUUCUUUUAUUAUCUGUAUCUUCUACUUGUAUUUGUGUGUUUUUCAGGUUGAUUUGUAGAAAUGAUGACAGGUGUAGAUUUUGAUUUGUACAAUAGUUGUACAAGCAGUCCAAGUAGUUACUCAGAUCCUUGUAGUGAAGAGCUGAUGAAAGCACUUGAACCUUUUAUGAAAAGUGCUUCUUCAACAGACACUUCUUCUUCUAUCUCUUCUCUUUCUCCUAGUCCUACUAGUAAUUUCUACUACCCUUUUGACUCUUCUUUCUCUACCCAGCCCCCUACUUUCCCGGUUUACAGCCCACCCGAAUCCACAACCCAAAUGUUUUCCACCGGGUUUUCGGGUUUUGCCCAUAUGGGUAUGGACCAGACAGGUUCUCUUGGGCUUAACCAAAUCACCCCAUCUCAGAUCCUCCAGAUCCAAGCUCAGAUCCAGCUCCAAAACCAACAGAACUACUAUUCUUCCAUUUCUUCUCUACCACCACAGCCCCAAAGAUCUUCCAACUUUCUUGGGCCUAAGCCUGUCCAGAUGAAACACACGGGAAGCCCAACAAAGCCCACAAAACUUUACAGGGGUGUUAGGCAAAGGCACUGGGGCAAAUGGGUCGCUGAGAUCCGUUUACCCAAGAACAGGACCCGGCUUUGGUUAGGCACUUUUGACACAGCUGAAGAAGCUGCUUUAGCUUAUGAUAGAGCGGCUUAUAAGCUGAGAGGUGAUUUCGCUAGGCUUAAUUUUCCACACUUAAAGUUAGAUCAAGAGCUAUCGACUUUUAAGCCAUUGCAUUCGACUGUUGAUGCUAAACUUCAAGCCAUUUGCCAAAACUUGAACAAAGAGCCCAAACAGAAGAGUGCAAAGAAGCCCAAAACUUCUAAGCCAGCUUUUGUCAAAGUGGAGGAAGCUUCCAACGGGUCGGAUCUUUCCGGCGGGUCAUCACCCGAAUCCGAAAUCUCGUUCCUGGAUUUUUCAGAGCCUUGUUUUGACGAGUCUGAGAAUUUCAUGCUGCAGAAGUUCCCUUCAGUGGAGAUUGAUUGGGAGGCGCUGACGUCAUCCCUGAUGUCAUAAUAAAUUUAUGUAUCUUUUUUUUCUUUAUAGGUGUAGUAUUGUAGCCUCUGAAAUGGUUUUUUUGACAUUUACAGAGGCGAGUCAUGCAGUCGUAGAAUAGGUUUAAGUUUGUGAAUUUUGUAUAUGUAAUUAUGUAAGGUAUAUUUUUAUAUGUACCUUGUAUAAUGGCCUGCUAGUAAUUUUUGUCUAGUAUUGGCCGAGGGAGAUGUCCUAACUAUGUUUUAAUGUAUUCCUAGUUUAUAAUCGUGUUGUUUAAAUAUGCUUUAUGUAUUUGCUUAACCCAUUUUUACCGUUUCUGUUUAAUGCUUUGGCUACUUUGGAAGAUUGGCAAGCAACAUGAUUCUUGAACUAAAUAAAAGAAAAAAAAUUAACUAAAUUAGGCAUGGUUUUCAACUUAGGUAAGCAGCUCAGUACUUGAUUAAUUAAUCUCUACAUCUUUUCUGCAAGUUUGGUAGAUUAACAUAGGUAACUUAGCAUAGAGGAAAAUUUGAAUAUUUUGGGGGUGUUUGCGGGUUUAAAAGUCUGAUUUUUAGAUUUAUAAGUUAAAAUCAUUUAUUCGUAUUUUUCCUAAAAAAUUAGGAAGUAAUUAUAAAAAUUUAAGAAUUUUUGUUUCAUGACUUCUAUUUUUUUUCCAAAUAUUUAAUCACUUAUAAUAUUAACUUGCUUCUAACAUUUGUUUCAUUUUUCUAUUUUAAAUUAGAAACAUUUAUUUUAAAUUCAGUUCAACAAUCUUUUUUCUAAAUAACAAAUUUAAGGUGGCCUUUAUAUCUGACAAAAAAAAAAAAAGAUGGCCAUUAUAUGUAUAUUAUGCAUCAGAUUAUAAUUUAAAUUUAUGUAUCAAAAUUUGUAUAAAACCUUUUAUCAAAGAAUGUCAUAAUAAUUCUAUCCCUGCUUCUUCUUAAUUUAUUUUCGUUUGUUACAUGAUCUAAUAGCAAUGAUGGAGGUCCAUAAUCAUAUACUCCCUCCGUCCCCCUCAAUUGUUUACAUUGGAGGGGGACACGGAGACCAUGUAUGGAAAAUGAGUAAAGUUAGAUGAAAAAUGGGUAAAGUGGUGGGACCUAUCAAUAUUUAAUUAUAGAUAAGUGGUGGGACCUAUCAAUAUUUAAUUAUAGAUUUGAGAUAGUGGAGGAAAGUAGUGGGUGCAAUAGUAGUUUUUAUUGUUAAAUAUGAGAUAGUGGGGGAAAAUAGUGGGUGUAAUGAUGAGAAAAACUUACUAUUUAUAGUAACGUAAAGAAAUGAGAGGGACAUCCAAAAUAGUAACUGUAAAGAAAUCAGAGGGACAGAGGGAGUAUUAACCUGUAGGAACGACACUUACAAGAAAAACAAAAAACUGAGUGAUUUAAUUAAAAAAACAUGUAGAUCAGUAGAUCCAUCCAGCUUUUAUCAAAAAAAAAAGUAGAUCCAUCCAGCUGUUGGCGUUGCACUUUCGUUUUCCAUGUAGUAGUACUUGUUAAUACAUCAAACGAGGAGCACCAUUUUUGCACGCAACAAAGACCACGAUUGUUGAAAAAUCAGACCCAACCCCCUUUCUGAAUAGACCUGUAUAAUCGACACAACGUGUACCGGGAGUCACUCCGUUUGAAAUAUAGGUUGUUUUACUUUUUUGCACGCAUUUUUAAGUGUUUUGGCUGCAUGCUAAAAAUUAUUAUUUUUUUUAAAAAAAAGUUUUGAAUAAAAAUAUGAUAAAAAUAUGAGAUAUAUAUUUUUAUUUUAAAAAGAAUAUUUCAAAAGUAAUAGUUUUUAACAUGCGGUCAAAGAACUUAAAAAUACAUGCAGAAAAAUCAAGCGACCUAUAUUCCAAAAUAGUGGGAGUAUAACUUAAUUUUACGUGAGUCUGCCCCUUGUAAAUUUGUAAUAUAGGAAACCUAGUUUAAUCACUUGUCAAUUAGCGAUGCCUUUAAACUGCAGAUUACAGUUUUAAGAGGAGUGAAAGCAAAGAAUUUGAUUCUGUAUUUGCGGGUCAGUCCUAGUCCAUUUGAUUGAGAUUAGUGAAAGCAAAGUAAAGCAAUUCGCUAAUUCAAAGUUUACAAUUCUUCCCCGAAAGCAAAGUAACGAGAAAUCUCUAAUUCAAAUUUUACAUAUAAGGCUGCACAAGUAGUAGGUAAUAAAAAUCGGAAGUUAAUCGAAUCGGGUAAUUUUAGUUAAGCUAUAUUUAAAACUUGCUAACUCGUGAUGAAUCUAGUAAAUUUUUUGUUAAAAAAAAUAAUUUAUUAAAAUAAAUAUUUAUAUAUUUUUAUAAUAUUUAUCAAUUAUAUCUAUUUUCCGGUUUUUAUCAAAAAAAUUAUCCGGAAGACAAUUUCAUUUAGAGAAUAUUUAUAUAUGUAUUAUAAUUGUUAUUUGUAACAUCAACUAUUCUACUGUAUUAUGCAAGUUAAGAAUUUUAUCUAGUGAAAAUACUUUCGAUGAUAAAAAAUUCAUUAUGACGUUUAAAUUAGCUUUGCUUGGGUUGGGUACGUGGUUCAUACCUGGGCUGUAAGGUGUCGGAGUCUGUAUUAACAGGCUUUUGGAGUAUUUAAUACGGAGAACCAAAUGCAUUAGGAGGCCCAGUUAUAUACUUGUAUUAUAAAUUCAACCUUUCCCCGAUUCAUAAGGUAUGAAGCACCUACGGAAAAUCCCACAUGACAUUUUCUUUUUACGAAAAGCGAAUAAUUUAGUAAAUUAUCAAAACGAUUUAUAUAGCUGUUUUGUUUUCUGAUCGUUUAACAUAUUUAAAUUAUUUAAUCUAAAAAAUAUUACAGUCAAAUCUAAAACAAUCCAACCUACAUCAGUUUUGAACAUAAUUGCAUCACACCUGACCUUCACAUAAGCAUCAUCUGUAGUCCAAUAUUCAGAAUUAUCAGUUAUAUUAAAUAAUAUUAGAUGAGUAAAUGACCCCAAAAAUAUGAACAAUUUUUUAUGAUGAAAUAUGAGCUUUUACGAUAUUAACCACCAUGCAAACUUUAUGGAUUAUCCAAAAUACUAUGUAAAUCCUUGCUAAAAACGUUAUAAAACCCAUAACAAAACACACAAAAAUAUCAAAAUAAACAUAAACAUCCCAAAAGAUGAAUACAACUAAUAAAAUCUAGAAGAUAAGGUUCUCGACAAGAGCUCACCAAAAAGGGUUAGAUCUUAAUUUUAUUAACAAAACUGAUAAUCCUAAAUAACAUUUUAAUCUUAUUGCUAUUAUCUUCCACUCAUUUGUUUAUAUAUUUCUUUUCAUUAUUUGACACGUAUUUUAAGACUUCGAUUAAGCAUUGUUUCGUAAUUUUUUUAAAAUUUUUUCUUUUAUGAAUACAAAUUUAAACAUCAUUAUUUUAUUCAAAAUAAAUAAAAUAAAAUAAUAUAAAAAAUUGGUGGAUGGAACUAUACUUAAUCAUAGUCUUUAAAUACGUGUUGAAUCCCUUUCCUCCGUGCAAAGAAGCUGGUGGGCGGAGAGAGUACCUUAAAAAAAAUAAAUUAAAUUACUAAUAGUCGUGGCAAAAAAAGAUAAAAUGAAUACCAGAUACUAAAUUCUGUUUUGGUAACACAAUGUUGCGAAUUAUAUACUUAGGUGGUAAUAUAUUCUAAAUGAAAAAUGUUUGUUGUCUAAAAAAUCAGCCGAAAAUUAUUCUCAGAUACUAGCAAAAAUAUAUUCUCAAAUACUGACGUGGGAUAAUAAAGAUGGUAACAUUCCUGACAACUAUAUCAGACCGGCUGCGCAUAUACAUUCAUCCCUGAAUAUAUGCCCCUUGUGUUUCAUAUUAUUGAAAAAUUUAAACAAAUUUUAAAUACUUAGCAAUGCUCAUCACAAAUUUAUAAUUAUAUUUAGAAUCCAUUUGAAAACAUGCAUUUCAUUUCAAAUGAUGAAUUUUAAAUGAUAGGAUUUGAGUUGUCAUUUCAAAUUCUCAACUUUAUACUAAUAUUUGAAUGUGCAGAUUUCAAUUGAAAUUCAAAUUCAAAUUUUCAAAUAAAUUAUUUGAUGAAAUCCAGAAUUUCAGUCCCCAGAAUUUGCGCGAAGUUGUUUCUUGAUUGUGGUUGCGGAAACACCAAGGGGCGGUAUAUGGCCCAAUUAGCCCCAUAUGGCUUGUGCUAUACCAACCCAAAAACAUUGUUGCCAGACUAACGGCCCGUCACCUAGUCGUUGUAUAAUUAACGUUGAUUUCAUAUUAUAAUGCACAGUCAAGUAACAAUAAAAUCUACGAAUGAAGAAUCAAAGCGCUACAGCCAGAAGCAUAUAUAAACAAAAAAAACUUUAUACGUCCACCCUAGCUAAUUAUGCAAUAAAGAAUUUAUACCAAAGCUUUUAAGAUUUAGAGGAUAAAAGGAUAUAGCAAAAGCAACUGCAAAUUGCGCACUAAUUAAACAAAAGUACAAUAAAAUAAUACAUUUGAGAGAUCGUAUAAAUCUGAUUUGGUGGCAUUAAAUAUCAAAUAUACUCGAAUGUUAUCGCGUGCAUAUAUUUAUUGUAGCAUUCGAUGUGAUGCACACACGUAUGGGUGAAGAAUGUCGGUGCAUCCCCCAUACCGGGAUAACAAAACCAGAGCAACUAGCUGAUUCAAUAUUAUAAUGAAUCUGCCGAGUCCACUCUCGGCAACAUGCUAGUAUUGAAUUUAGUAAAAAAACAAACAAAAAAGAAACAUGCUAGUAUUGAUCUGCUAACCCUAAGUUUCUGAUACCACAAUUAUGUUAUCUCUGCCCCCUUAUAACUUGCCCCUUUGCAAUGUCUAAAAGAUCUUGUUCUGUUCCAUUCUUCUUUUUUCACGGAUAUACUCUACACCCUUAUUCCUUGAUGCCCGCGGCUAUAAUAAAUCGCAGUUGAGAGUUUUUCGAGAAUUGAUAACUUAUAAUAAUAUCACAGUUAGUCGGGUCUCGAGCAUAAUAAAUAAGUUUGAGUGUUUUUCAAGAAUUGAUAACUUAAAAUGAUAUCAGAGCUAGUCGGGUUUUAAGGGUUUUAAGCACAUGCUCCCAAGCAGUGUGUGCAUACACACGUAUACAUGUGGUGUGUGCAUGAAUCCCACAUGCAUGUGCUUGUAUAGUUUUUCGUUUAAUCAGCUAUAUAGUUUGUUGGUUGAGCAAUAAGCUGGAAGUGUAUGUCCCAGAAAAGUAAAUAAAUGACUCGGCGAUGAGUAAUGUAUAUGUGGAAAACUAUUAUCAUAACAGCUUCCAAACUAACAUAACAUCAAAUCAACUUUCACUACUAUAGACAUGUGCGGCUGUCUUUUGUGCGUUUAUCUGCCAGUUUUGAUUCUCGAAUUUCCUGCCAUCGUAUCAUUCCGACCGGAAAUGGACCUCAAAACCGACCGAUUUUGUUCAUUUCCGACCGAUUUUGGCGGUCGAAAAUGCCCGCUUUUUUUGUAGUGUUCGAAAGAUGAAACGAAAAUUGUUCAAGACCUCUUAUAAAGAGGUAAGUAAAAUUAUACUAAUCCUAUGUCGUUGAAAAUAAAUUUAUCAUUCAACGUGUAAUUGAUGCUAUGUCGGCAAUGUUGUUAUUCUCGAAUCCCUUACAAUGAAUAUGAUUCAAAUUAUGAAGAAUUUUGUCGUGAUAUAUAGAUAAUUAGAGUAGUAGAUAGUGGUUAGCGUUCUAGCUUUUCAACGUCUGUAUAUAUAUAUAUUCUCAUUUAACUGAUUAAAGGAAUAUAUUUCAUAUGCAUAUUCGUUUAGAUUAGAGAAUUGGGUUAAAUUCUCUCAUUGUUAGCCAUCAUUUCAAUAAUGAUAAAAAUAUUCAAAGUAAUAAGAAAAACCAAUCAAGUCUUAGAAAAAUCUACUCAAAUUACGACGGGCAUCAAUCAUCCCAGUCAUUGUGAGAAAGACUUUGUGGGGGAAUACAAACAAAUGUAAGUAACCUAGUGGAAUUAUAUAUAUACAGCUGAUAAAUCUUGAAAAAUGAAUAUCUUUGGCCUGGAUUUGUUCUCAUUUAUCGAUAUUAACAAUACAUUAUCUUGAGUUAAGUUCCAUGUAGUCCACAUAUUUACUGUAGUACCGUAGACCACGCAUGUUCUGCAACUAUAGAAUGACAUAAAAACAUUGCAAAAUGUAUGAAACUUGUUAUUUUGUGAAAUACAUUCUAUAAAUAUCACUAUUUCAUGAAAAAUAUUGAAAAUGCUCGACAAGUAGAACACAUAUGUUCUGUAAUAUGUAAAUAUGUUCUGCAAACUUAACAUGUUUUGCAGAAUAAUGUGUUUUUCACUAUUUAACUUGUCGAAUGUUUAGGAUUGUCAAAAUUUUUAACAAAAUAAUUAUGUUUAUAGAACAUGAUUUGCAAAAUAACACAUUUUGCCAUGUUUUUAUGCUAUUCUAUUGUUGUAGAACAUACGUGGUCUACGGUACUACAAUAAAUAUGUGGACUACACAGAACUUUGUUCACAUUAUCUUAGUUAUAUAAAGAAUAAAGAAAAUUAUAUAUAUAUAAUCAUUUCAUUGGUGCUAUAACUGAAUUUACAUAACUGAAAUUAAAAUAAAAAAAAAGACGCGCAGAGACAGAAAUGGAAUAAUAAGUUUUGUUUGUAUUAUGAAAAGUUGGGAAGCAGAGGAGGCGAUAAUUAUAUGAACCAGUGAACUUCAACUAUGGUGGAUGGUGGUCCAUUAUCGACCCCAUGAAUUGAAUAUUCUUAACUUUUACUCCCUCCGUCCCUAUUUAUCUGUCCACUUUGGAAGUAAAAAUUUGUCCCUAUUUAUCUGUCCAUUUAUACUUUCAAAACUAAUUUAAUGAUAGUUUUUCAAAUAUAUCUCUAUAAUUUCAAUUUUCAAGGCUUGACUUAUUUAAAACUUGGUUGAAUUCAUGUUUUCAAGACAUAAAAGUAGGGGUAUUCCACCAUUUUCAAGAUAUUAAUUAGAGGUAUUUAAUAAAAAAGUUUAUACAAUCAAUUAUUCCUUGGUAUGUGUUUUUUUUCCCAAAAUGGACAGAUAAAAAGGGACGGAGGGAGUAGUAUUUAUAAAAGAAUAAUAAUCUUGUUUGAUUCCAAACACAAAACUUGACAUGAAUGUAAUUACUAAGCAAACAAUAAAGCAUACAUUUAAUUAGAUUAACAAACAUAUAUUUUUAUUUUAAUUAAUGCUCAAAUAGCUUGUGAUUUCAGUGUUUGAAUGAUUGAAAAUAAAGAAUAUUAUCUUAAUAUAUCUGAGCAAAAAGACGUUUUAUCUAUAGAGUAAAGCAUAGAGAUAAAUGAGAUGGAUGGAGAAUUGGAGAUAAUGAGCGAGGGAAGGAAGAAGAGGAGAAGAAAAUGGAAAGAGUAGGUGGGCUAGGCAGUGGGGAAGAAAUGAUAAGGACUGAAUCAGACAAAUCAUACAUCAAUCAUUCUAUAUUGCAAACAGGGUCGAUCACUGCAUAGCGAUUGAUAGAUUUUAUUAAGGAGUAAAUAGCAUGGACCAUGCCAUGCGUCUCUAUUUCAGUAUGACAUUUCACAUCGGAUGGAAUGUCUCUUGGCCAGCCAGAAAUAUGUCAAUGAAUGCGAGAAUUUGAGGAAAUAUAAAUUAGCUGAUGAGUGAUGGCGGUUGGGAUUAUAGUUAGUAUUUCGGGAUUUUAGUUAGUGUUUGAAGUCUUUAUAGUUAAUUUUGCCUUUGUUGGAAAAUUUAUUUUCGGUCAUUUUUUUGUUUUUCUCUUUUUUUCUUCUUCGAUGUGGUUAAUCUAGGAAGGGCUUAGACGACUAGAAUAGUCUACCAGGACGGAUGUCUAGUGAUGUUGAGUUCGGAGAUGACAUAGUUUACUACAUAUUUCUACGUAGUUGUUUUUUAUGAUGUAGGAUAAUGAGGCUGAUUCGUGGAUUCUUAUUAUUGAAUAAGUGAGAUCAUGUGGAUUUCAUGGUUCAUGAAUGUCUUGUUAUUAAAUAUUUGAGGUCAAAUGGAUUUCACGGUGUGAUUGGGGUCCAAAAAUUCCAAGAUUAUAGCCUUUUGAUUUUAAAAUAGGAGGGAUCAGGGUUAUAACACCAAAGAGCAAACCUAAUGUGAGAGUCAUCACGGGGUUUCAAACUUGUUUGUGAUCUCAAUUUAAUAUAUUCUUUAGGAGUUUACAACGAGCAAAUAUGAGUAGUACAAGGCCAGAUAAAAAUAUAAUCACAUUCUAAAUCAGCAAUUCAAAACUCGAGGAAAAAUUCGACAAAUUAUAACAGUCGUACAAAUAACAAAAAAUCACCGUGAAUUACAUCACAAACCCAUUGCCUCACAUAGGAUCUUAACAAAGUUUAUAAUAAACUCAUGGCAUUGUGCAUAAGUCUAAACUUGAGAAAAAGUUGACGAAGAGAAUAGAGAUGGUUGAUCAAAAUUAAGCAAGAACAUGCGUGCAUAAUGUUUCUCAACAGCUAACCAAUCUAUAAAAACAACAUGAUCAAUGGAGAGCACAGUGCACAGUAGGUAUAUAGAUAAAUAUAUCUGGAAAGAUGAAAAGUAGGCAGGUGAGUUGCAGCCCAAUCACAAGCGGAUCAAAAGAUGGACACAGAUAGCUAGCUAGUGGACCAGUUGCCAAGUGGGGAUUUCGUUGUUUUGCUAUCUCUUACCCUUUGCAUGUUUCUACUUUCCACCAACACUUUGUCCAUCUUCUUUUUCGAUAUAUAUACUUAUUUCAAUUUUUAAUAUUUAAACAUUGAUUUAAUUUAUAAGUUAAAAUUGAUAUUAUUUUUUACUUCAGAAUGAGUGAAAAUAUCGUACUCUCUCCGUCCUAGUCAUUUUUUUCAUUUUUCUUUUUGAGAUGCUCCAUCUAAUACUUACAUUUUUAAAACUUAUCAAGUAUAAUAAAUAUAAAAAUCAACUAUUUUUUUCAUUAUAUUUACUUUAUAUAUUAAAUAUCAUUCCACCGCUAUCCUCACUUUUUUUUAUGAUUUCACAUUAUUUUUACUUAUUUUCUUAAUUUUCGUGUCUAACUCAAAUGUGAACAUUUGGAUGAAACGGAGAGAGUAUAACGAGCAUUUUCUGUAAUACUUGAAUAUAUAUAUAUGUAAAGAUUUGUGGAACGCACAAUAGAUGCCCAUAGUAUAGGACUAAACCUAUACUUGCAUCAGUGUUUCGUUUAUGCAAGUGCGAUUAAUAAUGCACCCGUAUUUCCUGCAUGCGCAGUGGAACGUUCCAGAAAUGAACCAACCUUUUGAUCAAAAGAAAUAAUAAAAUUUAAAACUGAACUGGGAAGUCGUGACACGUUGAAGCCACUUUUAUCUUUUUUUGGCAAAUGUUACAAUCAAUUUUACAGCUUUGGCGUUUUUAUUGGAGCUCCAUUAACUUCUAGGGUUUGUUUAAAGUAAAGAACCGGUGCCAUUCUGGUAAUGUCAAUUGAGUAUCCACUAGGGUUCGAUCACUGACUUUGACUUGCUCAACUGAAUGAAGUCUCGCAGCAUAGUAUAAUUAAAUCAAUUAUUCCAAAGCUCUACACAACUGUCUGUCAAGUAUGGGAAAGAACAACAGUAGUUGACUUGUUUAAGCUUCAUAUACGUUUCUUUCUUGGCCCCCAAGUUGGUGCAUUGACUAGUGACUACUGUGGCAUAGGCAUAUAUGGAGAGGGAGGCGAUCCCUGACAACUGGAACGUGGAUUGACUGAUGAUCUCUUGUAUAUAUAAAAAUAUUAAUAAUUAAUAUUUUUAAUAAAAAAUGAAUUAAUUAUUAUAACAAUUAUUUAUCAGAACCCGACUAAUUAAAAGAAAAAGGAAUGAAGUUUAGUGAGUACAUGUUAGCAUGCAGUCAUGCAUGAUCAGAAUUCAGAAAGAACAUUUAUAAACUUAGUUGAUUUUUUUUUCUAAACUACAAAAAUGACCAGAAAUGAGAAGUAGAUUAAUAAUCACAAGUGAUUAAACUGUUUGGGAAAAAAGUAAAAAUCCUGAAACAAAAAUUAGUAUUAUAACAUUUUGCACAAAUCGGUCCAGAAAAAUAAAAGCCGAUUUUUUACGGGAAAAAGUCGGAAGUCCGUGUUGCCAAGCAGUCACUCGUUCUACGUGUAAGCGGAAAACUGCCUGGUGGAGAAAUGAACCCAAACGUUUACAUAUUCGAGCACGUCUAGGAGAAGGAAAACCCUAGCCUAUAAGCAUAGUCCACCACCAAUUAUACGGCAUCGAGAAAACUUAACAUAGAUCGGAUUUAUUUAAUUCAAAAUCUCAAUGUGUGGCAUAUAGAACUCUGAAACCACGGACAUAUGUGGUUGAUCUACUCACUACGUCUCUAUUUGCUUCAUUAUUGAAAUCCCUUCACCAAACGAACAUGUGAGCUUCUGUCUCUUGAUCAGUGGCUCAUUACAAGCCUGGAUAACAUUAUUCAAAUGCCCUUUAAAAUGAAUAAAUCUUUUUGAAUGAAAGUGCCUUUAUAUAUUUAUUCUGUUCUUGAGAAUCUACCCACAUAAAAUCUCACAUGACAUGCCACGUGUAAAAGAGACCCUUUGAAAAAAGGAAAGGAGAAAAAAAGAAAAAGAUCCAAACACAUGCGGUGUCGGGCAUCAAACCAAACCAAACAAGACUCCUGUUUAGUGUCCUUUGAUCCGAGUCAUUUGUAUUAUAAAGAAAGUAUGAACAAGACUACGAGAGACACGUAUAUGUACAAGGACGCACCUAGGUCUAGGGGUUGCAGUUAUAUUACUCCCUCCGUCCCAUUUUAUGUGACCUCAUUUCCUUUUUGGGACGUCCCAAAAAGAAUGAACCUAGAAUACUUACUAUUUUUGAACACUACUUUUCACUAUUACACCCACUAACUCUAUAUUUUAUACUCUUUUAUUAUUAAAUAAAUACUAUUACACCCACUACCUUCCUCUACUAUCUCAAAUUUAUUACUCCCUCCGUCCCUAUUUAUCUGCCCACUUUGGAAGUAAGAAUUUGUCCCUAUUUAUCUGUCCAUUUAUACUUUCAAAACUAAUUUAAUGAUAGUUUUUCAAAUAUAUCUCCAUAAUUUCAAUUUUCAAGGCUUGACUUAUUUAAAACUUGGUUGAAUUCAUGUUUUCAAGACAUAAAGUAGGGGUAUUCCACCAUUUUCAAGAUAUUAAUUAGAGGUAUUUAAUGAAAAAGUUCAUACAAUCAAUUAUUCCUUGGUAUGUGUUUUUUUUUCCAAAAUGGACAGAUAAAAAGGGACGGAGGGAGUAUUAAAUAUUGAUAGGUCCCACUACUUUACCCACCUUUCAACUACAUUUACUACCUUUUUCUUAAUCUCCGUGAAAGUCAAACCCAUUCACAUAAAAUGGGACGGAGGUAGUAAUUAUUAGGUAUUCUUUGGAUUCGGUAAUUGUGUGUUAUGUUUAUGUAAAAUUAUGUUGGGUCGACAGCAAACAUGUAUUCAGUAAUUAAAGUAAUCAGAACUGAUCGAACAAUAUAUACGAUUUUCAAAAAGAAGGUUUGUCUAAUUGGAUGUUACUGCAUCAGAAACAAUUAAGCUAAUCAGGACAGAUUAAACUAGAGUAUAUGAUUACUGCCAAUGUUUGCCACGCUAAAGCUGAUUAAGGUGAAGGUGGUAUGCAUGAACCUAGACAUGUUAUUUAUUAAUUAUUAUCGAUAAGUAACUCCUUCUUUGAUUGCAAAAUGUUAGAGGGAAGCUAAUGUCGUUCGAUCAACGGCAUUGAAAAAUAGAGUGUAUAAUACAUAUUUUUUUAGUAAAAAAAAUUGACUGUUUUAUCAGCGGCGGAUUAGUAAAUGUUUUAUGAGGUUGUCCGGUCAAUACAUAAUGUUUUAGUCUUUCUAAAACAAAUACUUAUAUAUUAAUUGUAGAUGCGCUUUCUUUUGUUCACGAAGUAACACUGUAUAUAAAUUUAUGGAUUUUACUUGCGAAAAUUCAGAUUUACAAAAGAUCCUUACAAGAGAAUGACUAAUUUUCACAAUAAUAUAGCGAUAAAAUCAGGUACUUAUUCGGCCGGAUUUGAUUUUACAUUUGUGUAACUUAACUUCUACUGCAGGUAAAGAGCAAUAGUGGGCCCAAUGAGAUAAAAAUAUAUCAUUUGAAUAUAACUUCAAUUAAUCUGAUAUUCAGGUGAGAGGCAUGUCGUGAAAAUUGAAGAUAAAAAAUAUAUAUUAUUACAUUUAACUAAAAUCUUGUUAAUUCUGUUAUUUUGGUAAAGUAAUAGAAUUACAAACCUAUUUCAAGAAAAAUAAAUGUUAAUUUAUUUUUAUCUGUGGUUUUGAAGGCGGCCUCAAGUACCGUCAAGUUCACCAUCUCAAUUUUUAAAUUCAGCUUUAAGUAUCCAAUUAAAAUAUUUUAUAGAUACACACACACACACAUAUAUAUAUAUAUAUAUAUAUAAAAUAUAUUGAGAAAGAAGAAGUAUAUAUUUAUAUCCAACCACUGAAAUGCCCAACACUUUUUUCUGAAUGAUCCUCAGAAGCACAUGCGGUCAAGAUAGGCAAGCUUAUUCGCAUUUAAUUUUCGAACAUAGGUUAGUUGCAGAGGAGGACAUAUCACAGCAAUUCUAUUAAUCUCUUUCACGUGUUUAUAAGUUGUUGUACAGGAAUUCGGAUUCAAUCGAAAGGUGGUGCGAAUACAUGCACGCAUGAUACACAAUAGCUAAUUUGCAAUCACGUAUUUUCAUAAAGUUACAAAAAGUUCCGAAUUAUUCAACACAGAAUAAUAAAAAAAGGUGAUGCAUGCAAACAAUUUGAACGAGCAGUCAAUGGUCUAAUGUUCUUUAACCAAAGCUUAAUGCAGGAUACAAAUUGAUCGGCUCUCGCUGCUUCCUGGUGAUUUCCUCCGAACCUAUUAGUCAUUCUCAAAAUCUUUAAAAAUUAUAUACUCUCUUUUGAUUUGUUCAAACAAGUUGGGUGAUUUGUCUCGAAAGAAUAUUAGACUUUUCACCAAGCUAGUGACGUGAUCCCUUCUUACACAUAAUUGUUUUUGUUUCGUGUUGAUUAUUGUACGUGCUUUGUGUUUUCUAGGAGAUUCAUGGGAAGAUGAACACAUAAUGUGGAAGCAAAUCAAUUGGUGAUCACAUUAGUUUAAGCCCUUAAGCUCGCUGAUUUAGGCGGAAAAAGCGUAAUUAGCGUCAACUUUAGGAAUAAACAAGGGGAUUAUAUCGUCCCUUUUCUGGAAGCAGAUGGCAUUAGUGGUGUGAAAGCAUCUGAGUUAGUAUGAUGGUCCAAAGAAUCAAUGUGUGUGAUUAGAGUGUAAUAUUUAAUUAGUGUUGCAUUAAAAUAGGGGGAUGGCUACGAGGGAUUGUAAUUACGUAUAUGCAAACGCAUGUGAAAAUUUAGGAAUGUGAUGAGUAAUGUCGUACAAGAAUCUCAUAUUUUCUGUGGUUAACAAAAUAAAAGAGGGGAAUAACUAGGGAUUCAAAUCUUCAAACGAUUCCUUCUCUUUCUUUCUCAUUAUAUUAUUCUAAUCACAAUUACUCUCCUGUCUCACCUACUUUCAACAAUCUUUACGUUCUAAACUUUAUAAUCAGCAUGCGAAUCCGCCUCCAUCCAUAAAAUACAAUGUGAGAAUAUUUAUUUUUUCCGUUUCAUCUUAUUUUAUUUAAAUUCAGAGAUUUACUUUUUAUAUACUUAAAUUAAAUAUAAAUUUUGAUGAUUUUCAAUGUAUAUUAAUGACAUAAUUUAAAAUGUAUUACAUAUAAAUGAUGAUUUUAAUGUAAUUGAAAUAAAAAUGCGGAUAAAACAAGUGGCACACUGAUUGAUAAAUUUAAACCCGUGGGCAAGAAGAGUUGAAAGAGAUGAGUGGUUAAGUGAACUAAGUUUUGAUCGGAUACAUGUAUAGACUAUACUUCUUUAUACGUAAAUUUUUUACAGAUUUGUACCAUAUAUAAUAUAGAAUUUAAAUUCCUGACAAAAAAUAAAAAAUAUAGAAAUUAAAUUCAUUGUUUAAAUAAGCGAAAUGCUGACAAAAAGAGCUGAACCAAUACCCUGAAUCGGUAAAAUUCUUUGACUAUUGUCAAACCUGAGUAUUAAAUAUAUAUAUAUAUAUUUUGGAAAAAAUGCUCACAAUUGGAAGUAAUAACGAGUCGUCAAUCAUAUGCUGCUACAUUUAAAAAUGCUCACACUUAAAAAUGCUCACACUUAUCUCACGGCAGGUUGGUCGAGUCGUCAAUCAUAUGCUGCUACAUCGGCUAAUAACGAGUCAAUGACAAGUUAAUUACAGCCCACUAUUAUUUUACGGCAUCUCCUUUUCAAACAAAUACUCCCUCCGUCUCAAUUUAUAGGUCCAUUUUGGAAUAAACACAUGUUAAGAAAAAAGUUGGUUAGAUAGAAUAUUAUCUCAUAUAUCAUUAAUUAGUGCAUUGAUAAGUGAAAAUAUAGUUGUGUUUCAAAAAAAUCACAAUAAAUAUAGGGAUUUAGUGCAUUGAGAAAUGAGAAUAAUGUUGAGUUUCAAAAAAAUCACAAUUAAUAUGUAGAUAAAUUUGUAUUGAAAUAAGAGAGUGAUAAGUAUUUUGGGACAAUUUUUUUUUCCAAAAUGGACCUAUAAAUUGAGACGGAGGGAGUACUAUUACUCCCUCCGUCCCAUUUUAACUGUUUUUGACUUUUUUACACGUAUUUUAAGAUGUUAAAAAAAUCACAUCUACACAUAAUUAUUCUUUAUAAAAUUUAUAUCAAAUAAAAGUUUAGAAUCUAUACUUUUAUUUGAUAUAAGAAUUUAAUUUUUUUAUUGGGUGUAGAUAUAAUUUUUUUACACCUCAAAAUACGUGUUAAAAAGUCAAACAUCAGUUAAAAUGGGACAGAGGGAGUAUAAAUUGGGAUUUUCUAUGGUGUGCCUAAGAGCACACACUAGUCUCUAACUCUAAUAAGAAUAGCUCCUUUUGAUUGGUGGGUAAAUAAUAAAUGUGAAUGGCCCCCCUGCAUUCACAUCAACUCCACCAAUCAAAUUAGCUCAUUUUUAUAAAAUUUAGUGUUUAUUGUGUGCCCUUGGUCACACAUUAGAAAGACGGUUAUAAAUUUUCAAUUUAUUGUAUUAAACCAGAAGCUGUAUGGUGCUAUUCAGCCAAAGGCAUAUCCAUACGAAACCAUGCACGGAUAUCUAUGCAUGGAAAAGAAAGACUGGCGAAGUAAAUGCAGGAAGAAUUAAAGAAGCCAUACUAUGUCCAUUGUGUGUGAGUGUAACAUAAAGACGAACUGUACCGGUUUUAUUACAUGUCGUUGAAUGCCUCGUCUUUCUUCCUUAUCUGACUUCACUUUUUAACCAUGUCGUCCUUUUAGGUUGACUGACGAGUAGGGUACAUGUCACGGCAGUUCUCACUGGCAUGCCUAUAGGCAUGUAUUUUACAAAAAGGCAUGCCCAAAUGGCAUGCCAUUUUCCAUUAAAUAUAGCAAAAACUGCUGCAUCAUUACAGAAUUGAUACUAAAGUGCACUUACAAAUAUAACAAAAGUUAGUAAAUAUUAAGAACCGAACUUAGUACAAUACUAACUUAUAUUAGUAGUUUAUCUAAUAUUUAACUAUGAAGUUGGACUAUAUUUAAAAUUUUCAAUAUUUAUAAGAUAUAAUAUUUAUAUAAAUUUUAUUAUUUAUAUAAAAAAUUAGUAAAAAAGCAUGCCAAAUGGACAAAAGGCAUGCCUAGGGCAUGCCCAGUCUGGCAUGCCCAAUCUGGCAUGCCCGUGCCGCUGUGACAUGAACCCUGCUGACGAGACUUUUGAACCACACUCAACACUCUGUCAUUUUUCUAUCUCUACACCGACCCUGUUAGUAAUUCAACUUCCAACCGUCCUCUCUUUCUCACUCUACUUGUUUCUCGAAGGUUGACGGGGGAGAUAAAUUUCGUUUGACCCCACUUAUAUUGACGAAUUUGCUAAAAUCAUCUCAAAUUAAUUAUUUGAAAAAAACACGAGAUAUCACAAAAUAUAUAGAGUAAGUAAUUAGAAGAAAUUGGACUCAAAUAUCAUAUACUCCUUCUGUUUUUUAAUAUUUGACGCUUUGACUUCGGACACGUACUUUUAGGUGUUUUGACCGAGUAGUUAAAAAUAUGAUUUUUAAAUUUUUUUUUUAAAUAAAAAUAUAUAAUCAAAAUUUUAAUUCAUAAAAAAAUAAUAAAAAAUUAUAAUUUUUACUACCGGGUCAACUCACCUAAAUAUGUGUGCCAAAAAUCAAAAAUUCAAAUAAUAAGAAACAGAGAGAGUUUUAAUAAUUAGACAAUAUCUCUCUAACAGUGUCCAUAAAAUCGAACUUAUAUAUAAUUAAAAUAUACAGAUUGAGUGGGUAGUAGGGCAGGAGUGACUGUUGGACAAGUUAGAAGAAAACACAAAAUGGUCCGUAUGGAGCGACUGACACGUAUUUCCAACAACUAACACGUAUGACAGUUAUCAGUCUUUUCGUUCAUGUCUUUAUGAUUCAGUUUUCUUAAAGCCUAAUCUAACGAGUUAGUUAUCUAGUCAAUUGCAAUCGACGCUGCGACCCUCUUUCGUAUCACCUCAGCUGCCGUGUCACCUUCAAAUACGAACCAUCUGCGCCGACUUGGUACGAAUCAAUGUCAUAAUUUAACCACCAAAUGUCUGUAUUGUUUUAAGUUUUAACUUAUCGAACAUCCUGUAACAUGUGACUAGUUUACGUGUAACAUAUUUAAAUGUUGCCAUUCCGCGUUCUUGGAAAUUUCACCGGCUUGGGAACUAAGAAGUGUCACUAGUUGGGUAAUUUGAACUUUUAAAUUAUACUUAUAUUUACAAUCAAAAUGAUGAAACCAUCUUACACACGGAUAUAAAUAAAUUAUUCUCAUUUUCUUUCUUUUAUUUCUUUGGCUAAUUUCGAUUUUACUCACAGUUUAAACGACUUCUUCCAUUAAUAAUUACGAUAAGAUGCAAGAUGAAUAAAUAUUAAGGUUUUGCACUUACUUUAAAAAACUUAAGAUGUUCAAAAAUUAGAUUUUCUAUUACAGUACUAUAUAAAAUCACUAUCUGGGCAAUUUGAAUUUUUAAAAUUAUAAUUAUAUUUACAGUCUAAAUUAUGAAAUCAUCUCCACAUAUCGAUAUAAUAAAUCAUUCUUUCUCUUUUUUUCCCAUUCCAUUCGUUAGUUUCAAUUUCACUCAUAAUUACGAUAAGAGGUAAGAAUUCAGGGGCGGAUCUAGGAAGGGGCACGGGGGGACACGUGUCCCCCUUAAAUAUUUUUUUUGCAUUUUUUCACCAUUUUAAAUUUUGAAAAAUUAUAAAAGUGCCCCCAAAAAAUUUAAAAAUAUAUAGGUGUUUUCUGAAAAUUUGCUUCGUGCCCCCCUAACAUUUUUGUGCUAGAUCCGCCCCUGGGUAAGAUCGGUGAAUAUUAAGGCUUUGUUUGGACUAGAUGCGCAAAAAUAACUCUCCACACUGUUAGUUAUCCAUCGUUUAACUAUAUAACAGAAAUUUUACUACAAUCCCGAAUCAUAACUCAUAUGAUACUAUUCCUAAUCACGAGUGAAAAAAAAUUAGAUAAAAACAAGAUACAGGAUUCGGUAAUUAUUACACUUUAAUCAUCAUAAUAUUGGUGGAUUUGAUUAUUAAUGAUUCAAGCCAGUCGAAUUGACAAAUCAUUUGCUAUACGUGCUCCCUUUCUCAUCUUUAAGUGCAUCAUAUCCGAAUUACCCAAGAAGUGUAAAAUUGCAAAAUUUGAUCGAGGAUAACUGAUGAUAUGUUUUUUCUAUAUUGUGGUAGCAUACAGAGAUGUUAGCUUGUCAUCUUUAAAUCACUUUCCAGAGAAUAGACAACCAUUCACCAUAUUUCUGGAACUAGCCUGCCUAUACUCAGUUAUAAGACUGAAUAAUAGAGCAUAUUUAAAGAUUUUUCUUUGUUUGGCAAGUUCCCUGGAGAUGAGAAUUUAGAAGCCAGAGGCCAGAGUAACUACAAUGAUGCUCAUGUAUUAACAGUAACCCAUGAGCUAAAAUUUUGAAUGGUGAUCAUUUAAAGAAUAAAAUAAUUUUUAACAAUGAUAUAAAGAGAUAAUACAAAGAGAUAUUUUGAUGAUUAUUUUUAGCAUGUUAUUUUAAUAAUAACAUUACAAUAUAGAUCAAUCUCUCAAACAUACUCAAUGGUCGUUUGGUUGAUAGGGAGUUUGUCAGGUAUUUAAAAUAUUUAGGAAUUGAUUAUCGACGCAGUUGUUUGGUUUACCAAAAACACCGGAAGUUCAAAUGGCUGGGAAAUUAUAUUACCGGAGUAAUUUUUAAAAUUCAUAUAAAUUUUGGAAUAUUAUUAUUUUUGUUAAAUAAUAUUAUUUAUCAUUUACUUAGAGUAAAAACACUAUGAUUAUUAAAAUAUAACAGGUCAGAAUUUAAACAUACAAAUAAACAAACAAUUGAUUAUCGACGCAGUUGUUUGGUUUACCAAAAACACCGGAAGUUCAAAUGGCUGGGAAAUUAUAUUACCGGAGUAAUUUUUAAAAUUCAUAUAAAUUUUGGAAUAUUAUUAUUUUUGUUAAAUAAUAUUAUUUAUCAUUUACUUAGAGUAAAAACACUAUGAUUAUUAAAAUAUAACAGGUCAGAAUUUAAACAUACAAAUAAACAAACAAUAUGAAGGAAUUAUAUUACCCUACAUAUCAACCAAACAGUUUUAUAUUACUUACCAGGUAUUUAGUAAAGAUGAGAAGUAGAAAUUUAUGUAGGAAAUUACUUCCCAAAGUGAUACCAAACAAGCACUUAGUGACAUUUUCUGAAUAAAAAUAAUACUAUAUAAACUCCUUUCUGUUUUGUCUCAUUAAACUGAACUCAAUUUUAAAUAUAUUUAAACGACAAGUAAUAGUGCUUGUUUGGUUGACAUCUGGAUAUGUGGGGAGUAGAAGUUCCUAUGAAGUAGUAUUUGAUGAAAUUGUUUGGUUGACAUUAAUUGGGGAAGUGUAAGUUCCUUGGAAUUUUAAAUGCCUACAAAACAUAAGAAGUUAUUGACCUAGACCCCCUUGGUAACUGGCACUUUCUGUAGGAAGUUAAAAUCUAUCUAUCAACCAAACACAAAUUUUAACUUCCCAUUUAUUAUAAUUUCCAUAGUAAUUUCAAAUUACAUAGGAUUUAAUUUCCUAUUGGUAACCAAACAAGCACUAUAAAUGCGAAUUGAGAAUAGAAAUGUGAGGUGAGAAAACAGGAAGCACAAUACAAGAAUAAUUUGGUAUAUUCAAAAAUAUAAAAAAGAUGAUUCAUGAAAAUCUUUUAUAUCGUAUAACAAAAUUGCUUAUUCAAAAUAUUAACCAAAUGUCUCCCCGAAAUUCCUAUUUUCCUCAUAAACUUCCUUGUCCAAAUCUUUUUGGAAGGAUUUUAGGCAAACUCUUCUUUCAUGUCUAGAAAAGAGCAAUAACGAGAUAAAAUAUAAGUUGGGCAGCUGAAUUCAGCUCAAGAAAACGAAAAAGCAAAGUGAAAGGAACAAUUUUUACAAGAAGCUGGUAAACGUAAACUGUGUUAUCUGAGCCACAUUCCGUCAGGCAGCUCCUUUAUAUGUAUGUAGUAUUUCCUGAUUCGAACAAUUUUUUGUCCAUUUGGGAAUAUUUUAAAAAAAUAUUAUAGCACCGUAAUAAUAAUAAUUUAGUAACAUAGCAACGGGUAAGGUUGAGUUAGUAUAUCUCAUUGUAUACAUUGAAUUUGGUUGAACUUGAGCAUCGACAUAAAUGGCAAACUUGAUGACAUUUAAGGUGGUUCGGCUGAGCAGGCCCCUGGUCUUACAACUCGUUCUUACCAAUUUUAGGAAUUCCACUGAAACUGUGGGCGUUUACCCUCGUGGUGCCAAGUGGGACCCACUAUAUCUCCACGUGUCAUCGUAUACUACAACAGUAAGACACUUGCCCAAAGCACAGUCCCCAGCUGCCCUGUGACUGUUAUCUUGACGGCGUGUAACGGCGGCGAAGGGCGGUUUAAGAUGGGGUUGUGGGUCCCAAUUGUGGUGGUGGAACCCUCCUUCAGGAUAUCGGAGGUUUUUGUGGUGGGGGCCCACUCGGAAGAUAAAUGUAGUUUGAGAAAAUUUGAAGUAGUAGAAAGAAAAGAAAAGGGUGGUGGGUCCCAAAAUGGGCUAGUUUCGUCCGUUAGUAUCUAGUUCGUGUCUAUAUAAACUAACCAAACUACCUCAAUAUAUCUCACAUAUUCACAUACUACACAAAUACAAUCCUUCUCUCUCACACUCUCUCCCCCCUGUCCACUAAUCUCUGACCCAUCUCUCUCUCUCUCCCUCUCUCUCUGUUUGGCAUUCAAUCCAGCCUCAUUUUGAGCCUGCUUUGCAUACAUUCCAAAACAGAGCACUCUGUUUCUUCCCCUGUUUCACAAAACUCUCGAACCAAAGAUGACCAAAAAGAAUGUGCUUGUCAAGGAAUCAGGUCUUGAGAUGGCCAUAAACAUGGCCGUCUCAAACUCUUCCAUUUUCACGACGGCGGCUCAGAAGCCGCCGUCUGUGCCAGGCGGUUACAUAACCAUCUCCCGGAAGAAGUUACUUCAGAAUCUCGAGAUUAAUGGAGGAACAAGAAUCAACUCUUGGGUUGAUUCCAUGCGAGCUUCUUCACCUACUCACCACAAAGCCUCGCAUUCACUUGCUGAUGACCACAGCUCUUGGAUGGUAACUUUUCGAAUCUCUAGUAUUCGAUAAUCAAAUUUCGUAAUCUUUACAAUAACUUUUACCUAUAAAUAUUGAUUAAAUGAUUUUACUGUAACAGCUUCAGCAUCCAUCAGCUCUAGACAUGUUUGAGCAGAUUACGAAAGCUUCCAAGGGGAAACAAAUAGUCAUGUUCCUUGACUACGACGGAACCCUCUCUCCCAUUGUUGAGGACCCAGAUCGUGCUUUCAUGUCUGAUGCUGUGAGUUCUUCAUCUCAAUACUCAUUUUCACAUUAAUUCACACACUCCCUACGUACAUGUAUAUAUGCAUGUUCGCGUUCCGCUACAAACUAUCUUAACUCCGAACACUUCAGAAUUAGUUGCAACUCAUCCCAACACUCCUAAAAUUAUGAGUCUUUACUGAAUUUAAUGGAAUAACUCAAGUGCUAAUAUAGUUAUUGGACUGAAUAACAGAUGAGAGCAACAGUUCGAAAGCUUGCUAGAUAUUUUCCAACUGCUAUAGUGAGUGGAAGAUGCAGAGACAAGGUACAAGGCAGCCACCUAUUUUACUUUAACUAGACUGUUUAUUUUUGAUUAAAUUUGAUGACUAAAGCUGUGUACUUUGAUUAUACAUAGGUGUAUAGUUUCGUACGUUUGGCAGAAUUGUACUAUGCCGGAAGCCACGGUAUGGACAUAAAAGGACCUUCAAAAGGAUCCAACUAUGCCAAGGUAAAUCAUCACUUAACUAAUUGUACUAUUGGCCUUAUUAGCUGUCAAAUUUUUGGUAUUCUAAUAAUUCUUGUUUGUGUUUUUCUUUUAGAGUGCUCAAUCUGUUCUUUGCCAGCCAGCCAGUGAAUUCCUACCUAUGAUAGAUGAGGUAUAUUUUUAAAUUUUUUUUAGAAGGCUCUUAAGAUGAUUUUUUUGAAAUGGAGGACUCAUUUAAAUAUAAAUCUUCAGGUUUACCAGAUACUCCUGGAGAAAACAAAAUCUACUCCUGGUGCUAAGGUGGAGAAUAACAAGUUCUGUCUUUCUGUGCAUUUUCGCUGUGUUGAGGAGAAGGUAGAAUCCGAUCCUAAUAAACACACAAUUUUUGACUUGCAUACAUAAAAUGUGUAUUGGGUGCACGAAUUCGUCAAGCUACGCAGUUUUAUCCUUAUUUUUCACAAAGAGAACGUUUCAUGUAUAUGUAUAAGUCAUAAAAAAGACAACUUUUUUCAAACGUUUUUUUGUGCUAGAUGAUACCAUGCAUGGCCAAGAUCAUGCCAUGGAACAAGUCUUGGUUUAGUUAAAACUACAUAAUUAGUACAUGUUAAUGAUUUUUAUGGUAAUUAAAAUUUAAUUAACAAGUUGAUUUAUAUUUUAUUAUGUUGGUAAACACAGAGAUGGAGUGAACUGGCACAACAAGUUCGGUCAGUGUUGAAGGAGUACCCAAAGCUUCGAUUGACACAAGGAAGAAAGGUGAGCGACACGGCACUUGAUUAUUGCUUUCAAACUAUUGUUUAUACAUAAGCAAUCGAAAUUUUAUAUUGCAGUGAUUCUAUCAGUUUUGUUUAUGCUUAGUUGAUUGAUGUUUCACUUGAUUAAUAUUAAUGGUUUGAUUAAUUAAUCACAGGUAUUAGAGAUACGUCCUACCAUCAAGUGGGACAAAGGCAAGGCGCUUGAGUUUCUGUUGGAAUCACUCGGUGAGUUUGAUUUAAAACCAUAUUUUGAUAACUUAAAAGAUAUAGUAUACGUUAGUCGUUGGAAUAUUUGUGAACCGGACAAGAAAAAGUUAAAAAUGGAGCCAUCAUACUUGAUUAACAACACGAGUUGUUCUUAGUCGCUAACUUUUGUGAUUUAUCUUCUGAAACAGGGUAUGCUAAUUGUGCCGACGUCUUUCCUGUUUACAUUGGCGAUGAUAGAACCGAUGAAGAUGCGUUUAAGGUACACAGAGCAUGUGGUUAAGGCUAAUAUUUUUGUUCAUUGUUUGUACUUACUGAGCUGGUGAUUAAGACAUGUGUUCUUUAUUUUUGCUAAUUAGGUGUUAAGAGACAGAGGACAAGGUUUCGGCAUUCUUGUUUCCAAAAUCCCCAAGGAAACAAAUGCAGCUUAUUCUUUACAGGAGCCAUCUGAGGUAUAGCUCAUUGUCCCUCAUGGUUAUAAACUGUAUAUAAUUCGAAUCAAUAGAAUUUUUCCUGAUGUAUCGCGUAACUUGUAAUAGGUGAUGGAUUUCUUACGACGACUGGUGGAGUGGAAACGGCUAUCUCUGAGAAGACAAUUCAGAAUGCUGAGAAGAGCUGUAUUAGAUGAUGGAUUACUCACUAAGUUGGAUAAAGCGGAACCGAUAAUUACAGUUCAGGAUGCCGAGAUGACAUGCGCAUGAGGGCAUCAAAAUAAUCUACCCUGUUGAUGAAUUAUGUCUAGAAUAUUAGGUGGAUAUGCAAAUAUAUAUCAAAAUAUAGUAUGUAUCUGUAAACUCUUGUUUGAAGAACAACAAGAGGGCUAAGGGGAAAUGAACAGAGGCCUUUCUUUUUGCCUCGAGGCCUUGUACAUUUGUAUCUAGUCAUGUACAAGGGGGAAGUCUGUAAUGUUCAACUUGUUUGAUCAAUGAAUAGAUGGUUUUCUAGCAUCUCAAAAUUCUGGGGAAUUUAUGCACAAAGAGUCUUGUUCUUAAAACCAAUUAAUUUCAACAGUUGACUACAUGUAUUUAUAUUUUGUCUUGUGCAUCAUUUUUACAAACAGAGAAUCCUAAAUAAGUUGAAAGGAACAAAUAUACAAUGAAACAAUGCAUGCUCUGAAUACCUCUCCUUUCAAUCUCAGUGUUUUCUCCAAUCCUCCAUGCAUGCUUGAGCUAUUACAUUGAAUACCAUAAAAAUCGGGUUGAAACAAAAACUUUUUUACCCAUCCACUCUGCAUCCUACCGACUUGAGACUAUGUAGUGUUGGGAGAUCCGGUAACUUAACAAUCUUCGACCGUUAUAAGCAUACUUAUUACGAAUUUUACAUCUUAAUUUUCAGAACAUAUUUCUCAGAAAAUCUACACAGAAAUCCAACAUUUUUACGAUAUUAAACAUAUCAAUCAUGAAUUUUACAUCCUAGUUUUCAGAAUAUAUUUUUCAAUAAAUUUAUACAGAAAUCAAAUAUUUGUUGACAAUCUUAACAAUAUUCAACAUUAUAAACAUACCCAUCACGAAUCUUGUAUUUUAAUUUUCAGAACUUGUUACUCAAAAAACCUAUACAGAAAUCAAAUAUUUGUUUACCAUCAUAGUUAUGUAUGCCAAAUGUGUCGGUAGAAAAUAACAAUAUAGAUCUAAAUUUUUGUUCUGUUUCCUUUAUCCCGGAUGUUGGAUCUAGAUGCAACCAUUUUACAGACGACAAAUUAUUUAUUGGGUUAGGCAGUAGCUUUAUCGAUUAACUUUGAUUAUUAUAAGCCCCGUUUCAAUACAAUCCAAGAGAGAUAUUCAACACUUCCAAGAAAGAUGUGCCCAUGUUCUUGCAAAUGAAACAGAUACACCACUGCUCUGUGUAGUGUGCACUAUGAUUUUCUUAAUCAGAUUUUAUAAUUAAUUUUCACGGAAAUGCUCAACUAACAAUAAUUGGACUCCUUAAGCAAAUAUUGGGGUAUUAAAGAAAUAGCUUCAUCGUUCCAUCACCGACAUAAACUCAAGUAAUAGAAAUGAAAAUUAAGUAAAAGCAGAACCCCACACCAAGUUGUCUCUGUUGCUUAAUUAUAUCUUCUUAAGAUCUGUAUCUAGAAAAGCUUAGCCAUUGCUCAGAAACACAAUAACAACCCUUCCUCAUUGGUUGAUUAGAUUUGGGUCGAAAGGAACAAGAGCUUGAGGCUUAUGUGGGGUAAUAACUUGCAACUAUAUCUAUAACAAUAUACUUGACACAAAUUUAAGUACAUUCAAUACAGUACCAGUUGGAGUAUUAACAAAUGUUAAUGAAUGUACCGAGUGGGCAUGCGUUAAAUCAAGUCUCCUAUCAUAAAUAUAAAAACGAUUUGUUUUUAAUAUAAACAAUUAAAUUAAAGAACUUUAUCAGUGUGAGUCUUUUUGAACAAACCCAAAAACAAAUCCUUAAGAACUUGUUCACGAUCCAAAAUAGACAAUAUCAUAUUAAUACGAAAUUAAUGGAUGUUGCGCGGCUCAAUGAGUGGUAUUGAUAUCAAAAUCAAUAGUUAAAAAUUGAUGGUUAAAAAGUUGAUCAUGAAAUUACGAGCUGUAAGUUCUGUGAUGUGGGAGGCUAUCAAAUUAUGAUUGAUGAUCUUGGACGACUAAAAUUCCUGAGACCGAAGUGGUUGGCCAUUUGAGAGAAUCCAAAAACAAAUAGUCCACAGACAAUAUCAUACUAAUAUGAUCGUUGCGUGACCACCAUUAUAAUAAUACCUGUCAAAUAACGGAUUUGACUAAAAUAUUAAUGUGUUAUAAGAAUGACCAUUUAAGUUCGUGAGCGGAAUCUUCUGUGAAUUUGACUCUAUAGGAUGUAAGUGAAUGAUUUAUCUAAAAUCUUAAAACAUAGGAGGAAGACACAACAAAAUUUUAUAAAAACUAUUCCCCAGACCCAAAGAGUACUCCACCAAACUAGAUACCGAAUUGUACAAGUGUGUAUAUACAAUCCUUGGAAGACGAAAGAUGAAGUUUGAAAAGGAAAGGCACGUCCGGGGAAUCUAUAAAUGGUUGAAAGUGGAGUUGGAAUCCACUUAGAAGGGGGCCAAUGUGGGGAAUUAAGUGCUUGAAAAAUGCAUGGAUUUUGAAAGAGGUGGCUAGCUAGGGACACUAAGAAGCCUCCAAGUUUCAUUUUUGUAUGCUGGUUAUAAUAAUAUCAUUUUAAUUUGCAAUCUUACAUUCUUUUACUUUCACUCGGACGUGUAAAGAUGGAGUCCAUUGAAUCAACUCACAUCAUGAUUGGUAGGCCUGAAUUAAACAACUUAACUACCCCAUCUCUUCAUUCAAUUAUUGCAGCCUUGCUUUCCCAAGGCAGCGCAGGGGCUUCUCGCUCUGCCCCCUCACUCAAACAACACCAUGUUCAGCACCCUGAGUUUAGGCUCGGGACCAUGACUUCCGAACUUUGUCAUUUGACCCAAAUUUUCAAAUUAUAUGGGCGAUUUGCUGAUAUUUCUCCGAAGAUGAGUUUCCAAUAGUCCGCUCUCUGACCAAAAAUAACGAGUUUUCGAGUGAGGGGAAAUGUCAAACAUGUACCCGAAGAAGUUCCAAAGUUGGUGCAGUUUAAUGUAUUAUGAGUAUAUAAAUACCGGCGGAUGCUGACAUUCCAUGCAUGAUAAUAACCAUACCGGUAUUAUCUGCACGAAAGAAUGCAGCUGAGAACAUAUCUUGGUAGCCCAGUUAAGCCCUGUAGCAUUUCCUUAGGUGGGGUCCUAGCUAGGCAAUUAAAUUACUACACAUCACAAUUCACACGUGUAUAUGUGUGUGUUUCUGGUGUGAUGAUAGACUAAUAAUGUGAACACCAGUCAUGUGAAUAAAAGAUUAUAUUUUGUGAUUAAGACACAUUUUACAAGUUGGAGAUGGAUCAGCGAAGCAUGAAACUGGCAUUCUCCCAGAAUAAAAUGCAAGCAAAAGAAUACAAACACAAGCACCAGUCCUCAGUGCUGUCUGUGGACUUUAGGUCCAGUAAUGCCACUCUCCUGGAAGACUAAAUGAUCUUACAAAUAAUAUUAAAUUAUUUUCGGAGUCUGUGGGUCUGAGUGUAGGUCGGACGUGCCUAACUUACUAUUGAGACUGUAUCACAGUCUCCACACCAUGCACUUAUGUCACAGCACCAUGCUUUGCACAGUAAUACAUCACAGCUGGUCGAUAUAUCAGAUGCUCAUCUGUUAGAGUUAGUUAGACGUUAUAUAGAUACAUAUAGUAUCAGGUGAUGUAUGUAUAAGAGUUUGUUAGCUAGCAUUUGUAUAUAAACACUACUCUGCACAGACAUUGUAAUCAAGUUUGUAUAGUGAAGUUUAUACAGUUUUCUUUCUCUCCAAGAUACAGAAGCUCUCUCUCUCUACAUCUCAUAGAUAAUUUCAUACAAAUUAACAUGGUAUCAGAGCAGUACGAUCUCGGGUGAAUUGUUUCCAUGGCGACUCUGUUCAUCUCUCUCGCGAUUGUAAUCUCUCUGCUGCAUUUGUGAUUUCUGCAUCUCUGUGUUUUCUUCAAUCAGGUGUUUUCUGCUUCUUUUUCUUCGAUCUUCGUAUCUCUAGUCUCUAUUGUUCAUCUCUCUGCGUGUACAUACACAUUUCUUGCAUUUCUUAUGGCGAAUACAGUACCUAUUGUAGAUCCUUCAAGUGUUUUUUACAUUCAUCCUAGUGAAGCAACAACAAAUCAGUUAGUUUCUGUGAAAUUUAAUGGAUCUGGCUUUGCAAAUUGGAAACGCUCAAUGUUACUGAGUUUAUCUACUAGAAAUAAACUCGGUUUUGUUAAUGGCACUAUCUUGAAACCUGAUGUUAAUGAUCCUGAUUAUGUUCUCUGGGAACGCUGUAAUUCUCUGGUUACAACCUGGAUUUUGUUCAAUCUUGAUGAGACUAUUGCUAGUAGUGUCUUGUACUUCAAGACUGCUAAAGAUAUCUGGAAAGAUCUUGAAGCUCGAUUUGGACUUGUGUCAAUUACACAAGUUUAUUCUCUUCAGCAACAAUUAGCUGAUAUUUCUCAGGGUAAACAAACUGUUUCCGAAUUUUACACUGCUAUUAAAGCAAUUUGGGAUCGUCUGGAUGAUGUUGAUCCAAUUCCUCAAAAUACUGCUUGCAAUUGUGAUUUGAGUCAAAAGGUUGAACAAAGGCUUCAAAAACACAGGCUGGUUGAAUUUCUGAUGAAACUGAAUGAUCAGUUUUCUAUUGUUAGGGGACACAUUCUCCUAAUGAAUCCAACACCUACUGUUCAACAGGCAUAUAAUAUGAUUUCACAGGAGGAGAACCAUAAGGAAAUGACUGUUGCUCAAACAAACAGUUUGGCCUUAAUAGCUGACAAGAAGCCUAAUAAUUACAGGAACAAUUCUUCUGGUAAUUACCAGACUGAUUCACAGAAGUUUGGUUCAUCUAAUACUGGCAAUUCAGGUCAAAACACCAGGAAAUCUAAAGGAUCCAACUAUUACUGCACCAACUGCAAAAUACCAGGUCACAGCAUUGAUAGGUGCUUCAAGAUUCAUGGUUAUCCUGCAGGUUUUCAACCAAAAGAAAGGAAAGUUGCUGCAGUUUCUACAACUGAGGACAUUGCUGCAAUUUCAACCUCUCUUUCUACUGAUCAGUACAACACUCUCCUUCAUAUGAUCUCAAACCACAAAGUUGAUCCAUCUGAUAAUUCUCAAGCACAUUUGGCAGGUAAAACUUGCUUACUAUCAUUUCUUGACUGUAACUGGCUGUUAGAUAGUGGAGCAACUGACCACAUUACACCAUCAUUGGAUAAUUUUAUCCAUUACACUGCUGUUACUGGAUCAGAUAAUUGCAUAACCAUACCAGAUGGCAGUCAAAUAAAAGCAGCACAUAUAGGCACUGUUGAUCUGGGUAACAAUAUCAUUUUACAAAAUGUUCUACAUGUGCCUGAAUUUCAUUUUAGACUUAUAUCAGUUCAUAAACUCUGUAGAGAUAUGAACUGCCAGAUUUUUUUCAACAACAAUUCUUGCUUCUUACAGGACCUUUCUCAGAAAAGGCAGCCAAUUCUUCUUGGUAACCUGAGAAAUGGUCUCUACACUGUGGAGUCCAAAUCCUCCUCAGCAAAGCUUUGUUUUAGUGCAUCUCACACUCCUGCUACAGCACAACUUUGGCAUCUCAGACUUGGCCACAUGCCAUUUUCUCAACUGAAGUAUUUGAAGAAUUCUAUUGCUUGUGAUCUGAACAAUGUAUCUGAUUCUAUCUGUCAAGUAUGUCCCUUAGCUAGACAGACUAGAUUUCCUUUUCCUCAUAGCUCUAUUAAGACUACUGCUGCAUUACAAUUGUUACAUGUUGAUCUUUGGGGACCUUACAAGGUCAAAACACAGUUUGGAUGUAAUCAAUUUGUUACUAUAGUAGAUGAUUUUACUCGUUUUACAUGGGUUCAUCUCAUUAAGUACAAAUCAGAUGCAUCUACUGUGAUUGAAGAUUUUAUUGUAUAUGCUGAAAAACAGUUUAAGUCAACUGUUUUAUGUGUGAGAUCUGACAAUGCUCCUGAACUGUGUCAAGGGAGAUUAAAAAUUUUCUUUCAGAAUAAGGGCAUUACUCACCAGACAAGUUGUGCCUACACCCCUCAACAGAAUGGGGUUGUAGAGCGGAAACAUAGGCAUCUCUUAGAAACAUCAAGAGCCUUAUUGUUUCAGUCAAGAGUACCUGAUAAAUACUGGGGAGAGUGCAUUAUGUGUGCUGCAUAUCUCAUUAAUCGAAUGCCUCUUUCAAGCAUUCAAAAUGCAACUCCAUACAGGCUGUUAUAUGAUGAAGAACCUGAUUACAACUUGCUCAAGCCUUUUGGAUGUUUAUGUUAUACUUCUACUUCACAAGUUGACAGAUCAAAACUUGAUCCCAGAGCUUCACCCUGUGUGUUCCUUGGGUAUACACCUACUCAGAAGGGAUUUAAGGUACUUGAUAUUUCCUCUCAGAAAAUCUCAGUAUCCAGAGAUAUUGUGUUUCAUGAAUUACAUUUCCCAUUUCAUAAUAUUGCCAAAGACACCAAAUUCUAUUCUUCCAAUCCAAUUUAUCUUCCUACUGUCACAGAACCUACAUCUGAGUUUUAUUCUGAGUUAUUUACCAAUGCUCAAACUGGAGAUGCAUCACAGAAUUCAAAUAAUAACAAUACUGCAGAGUUCAGUACUGAUACUGCAGAUUUCAGUACUGAUUCCUCUCCAGAAUCCUCUAAUACUAGCACUUCUGCAAAUUCUUCUAAUCCUUCCAUUCCUGUUAGAACUUCAAGCAGACUUAAGACACAACCUCAGUAUCUUAAGGACUAUCACUGUCAUACUGCAUUCACUCAUCACACUGCUUUUCUUUCAAAAUUAGAUCACAUUUCUGAACCUAAAAAUUACAAAGAAGCUGCUGCACAUCCCUUAUGGCAAGAAGCCAUGAACAAAGAAAUUGAAGCUUUACACAAAAACAAGACUUGGGAUCUUGUUCCACUACCUAAAGGAAAGAAAGCCAUUGGCCACAGAUGGGUUUUCAAAGUAAAAUUACGAGCAGAUGGUUCCCUUGAGCGUUGUAAAGCACGGUUAGUAGCCAAGGGCUACAACCAACAAUAUGGUGUUGAUUACGAAGAGACUUUUUCUCCUGUUGUAAAAAUGAACACCAUACGAUGUUUACUGGCACUUGCAGCAAGCAGAAAAUGGUCUAUUUUUCAACUUGAUGUUAAUAACGCCUUUCUGCAUGGCAAUCUUUCUGAGGAAGUUUACAUGACAGUUCCAGAAGGUAUUCCAAAUCCACAAAAUCUUGUCUGUCGACUCAGAAAGUCCAUUUACGGACUUAAGCAAGCAUCAAGAGAGUGGUUCGAUAAACUUCUGCAUGAGUUAAUUGCUCAGGGCUUCAAACAAUCCAAAAAUGACUACAGUCUGUUUGUUAAGAAGACAGAUCAUGACAUUACCAUUAUGGCUGUUUAUGUCGAUGACAUAAUCAUCACAGGUACUGAUCACACUUGUAUUCAGCAAAUUAAGUCUCAUUUGCAUGAAACAUUCAGCAUAAAAGACUUAGGCAUUCUGCAUUACUUUCUUGGACUAGAAGUCGAUUAUGUUAAGGAUGGUAUUUACCCUUCGACAUUUCUAAGAAUGCUGUCACUCCUUUACCACAGCAUCUUAAACUUGAUACUACAGAUGGUCCAUUAUUGUCUGAUCCAGAACUAUACAGAUCACUCGUUGGUAAAUUGAAUUACCUUACUCAUACCAGACCAGACCUGAACUAUUCUGUUCAAGUUUUAAGUCAGUUCAUGCAUUCCCCUCGUACACCACACUUUGAUGCAUUAGCACAUACAUUACGUUAUGUUGCUCAUUCAUCACAUCAAGGAAUUUUACUCAGAGCAUCUGAUUCUUUAACACUACAAGCUUAUUCUGAUAGUGAUUGGGCAUCAUGUCCUAACACUAGACGCUCCAUUACUGGUUAUGUCCUACUGUUUGGUUCUUCUCCAGUAGCUUGGAAAUCUAAGAAACAGUGCACUGUCUCACGUUCUUCUUCUGAAAGUGAGUACAGAGCCAUGGCAUCAGCCGCUGCAGAUGUUACUUGGACUGUGAGACUGCUCGAAGAAUUAGGAGUCACUGAUUUGAAACCUGUCACCUUACAUUGUGACAACCAAUCUGCUAUAGCCAUUGCCAAGAAUCCCGUUUUUCACGAGCGGACAAAACAUAUAGAGAUCGAUUGCCACUUUACACGUGAUAAAGUUUUAGAAGGACUACUGCAGUUAACCUAUCUUCCUACUACUCAUCAACUUGCUGAUGUGUUUACAAAGAUUCUCCCUUCCCAUCAGUUUGACACUCUUCUAUCCAAGUUGGGAGUAUUUUCAUCACCUACUUCCAACUUGAGGGGGGAUAUUGAGACUGUAUCACAGUCUCCACACCAUGCACUUAUGUCACAGCACCAUGCUUUGCACAGUAAUACAUCACAGCUGGUCGAUAUAUCAGAUGCUCAUCUGUUAGAGUUAGUUAGACGUUAUAUAGAUACAUAUAGUAUCAGGUGAUGUAUGUAUAAGAGUUUGUUAGCUAGCAUUUGUAUAUAAACACUACUCUGCACAGACAUUGUAAUCAAGUUUGUAUAGUGAAGUUUAUACAGUUUUCUUUCUCUCCAAGAUACAGAAGCUCUCUCUCUCUACAUCUCAUAGAUAAUUUCAUACAAAUUAACACUUACAAUCAUGGUAUGGUAUGAAACUAUGAAUCAACUGUGUGACCCAUAUGUUCUUCUUAGAGGAAACAAAUUGACACAGACCAAGCCUCAUAUUAUUGUCCUGGAAGAAUGGUAAAUCUCUGCAUUAUACAAAGGCUCAAGCAACUGUUCCAGCUUGGGUCCGAUCACCGAUGAUAUAACAAGCAAAUCUCGACUUGACUUCAUUGUGGUCAAUAUGCAUCAAAAAGUCAUAACAUUCAUGAAAAUAACUGAUCAAGAACUAACAGUAACUCAAUUGGCAUAUCGAUAUUGUGGGAAACAUCUGGUUCCGACCAUCUAACAUUUCUUGUCCCUCUUUCUGUUUUUUCCCUCUAUCUCUCUCUUCCUAAAUAAUUUGAGAUAUUAUACACGAGGGGUCUUUUUUACAUUAUUCAACUAACAAUUUAUAAUAUAAUUUUGUGGGACUCGUGACAGUUCCUCUUGAAAAUACGACUUCUAUUUAUU